UUUUUUUUUGUUCUCUCAAUAUAACUAGAGGUAAUGAAUAAAAAACAACAGUUGUGCAUGAAGAACAGGAACGGGGAGGGGGGGGGGGUGGUUACCAUCGAAAUGGCGGCAUGGGUAAGUUGGAGAACAUCCAAGCAAGCAACAACUCUACCAUCUAUUCAUGGAGAAGUAAAAUUCUGUUAGUUACAAAAAAAAACAAGGAACUCUUAGACUAGAAGAGUCAAGUUUUACCUCCAUCAACAACAGGAAUAUGCAGGAAUUUGCCAUCAUGCAUUAUAUGUAGAGCGUCAAGAAUUGAGGUGUCCAAUGUAGCACAAUCGGGAUGUGCAGUCAUUACCUUGAGCAGUAUGGUAAAUAACACUCAGUCUAGAAUGAAUUACAUAAAGCUUCACAGCAUUUCAAAACAGGACUGGGAGUUAUAAACCUUUUCAACUAGAGUUAAUUCAGGAGAAAGAUUUUGUGCCACAACACGCAUAAGAACAUCCUUUGAGCUGAAUUCCACAAUAACACACCCAUUAAUAGCUCGGUAAGAAACAUAAAAAGAAAACAACAAAUAAAAAAUUUAUAGAAAAAUUAGGGCAGUGCUUACGUAAAGAUCCCUUGCAACGAAUUUCCGUUAGUUAUAACAACUGAAUUGACGCGUAGUUCACGCAUUUUUUGGGCUGCUACAUAAACAGGAUCUGAAAGUGAAACCGUUGCUACUCUGCAAGUUAAUAGAAGAGGUAGCUCUUGUCAUCCAAAUCACCAUUUUGCUAACAACCAACCAAGAAAAAUGAAUAAGAGAAGACAGAUAAUUACUUUGUGUUUUCUGUGAUAAUGGUUGACAAAGAAGGUUUGAACAUCCUUUCUCUUAGAGUUUCUAUUAAAGCGUAAGGAGCUGUAACCACAAAUAGUCAAAAUAUUAGUUUGGUCAGCAACACAUGACUAAGAGAAAACUGCUAAUCAGGUACAAUUAUUAGGAAAAGUACACAUAUCAACCAAGAAAGACAUGGUUCCAACUUUAAAGUUGUUCUAUGACAUGUAAAAGAAACUUGCUAUUAUUAACUAUGCACAAAUAUAGUUCACAUAGCCACAACAUACAUGUUCUAUUACUUCUUAUUUGUGCACCAUCAUGUAAAUCAAUAAAAAAGAAAGAGUUAGCCGGCACAGGCUACAACACAAGACCUGUGAAGUUGCCUCCUAAUUGGCGCUCAACCCCUUCUACAGCAGCUGCAAGUGCACUUCCUUGUUCUGCUGCCUUUUCCAGUCUUGAUAUUGCAUCAUACAUGCAUUUUGCAAUAUCCAGCAUGGCGAUAACCUCACCAUUUUCAACCACUGGAAGGUGUCUAAAUUUCCCUGAAACCAGAAAAUACCAUGUUAAUUUCCAUGAGAGGAUGCAAACGUCUCUAGAAGUAAGCUUUAUGUGAAGAACAUGAGUACACUCAUCAUCAACAUACAUACAUCUGUCCUCACAAAGCUAAAGAAAAUUAGAUAUGUAACCACAUCUAAAACACCCAUUUAAAAUUUCAUCAGAAGAAAAAUAGAGCUAGUCCUUUCAUUAGGCCACUUUUCAGUUGGAAAUUUCAAAUAUAUACAGAUUUAUUAAGGUGUCUCCAAGUUGUAACAAUCAGAACGCACCAAAUAGUUCACCUCGAACCAUAAUUCAUAAACAUGUUAGUUCCUAAUGUUUCAAUUACUUCUUUAUUAAUAUGUCAAUUAAUAUUCUCAGUAUACACAAAUCACUAGGAUUUUCUACUGGUCAUAUUUCUCCCAGUUUCUUUUGUAGAAUCUUAACUUCUCGAAAAUUAUAACUUUGUUGGUUUUUUCGCCAUUCAUGAUAUGAGUUUUGAAUCCAGAUCCAUCUUCUUAGGAGUUAUGACUACUAAAUGCUAAUGCAUAGGGGAUUGAAGCUUUGCAUAGGCUAAACCUUUAAAAAAAUAAUCCUAGAGAUUUUUUUUUUAAAAAAGCAGUGAGAAACCAAAUAACGAAAAAACUCAGAGUUAUUGCAAUAACAUAAUAGGACGAGAAAUAUGGAAUAUUUUUAGGUAAAACUUAACAAACUCUAAGAAAUGAGAAAAAAUGGGAGGAGAAUAGUUAAUGCAGGGUCUUUGACUCUUGCUUAACCAGUCUGAAAGAGGGAAUGCAUUGUAAGCUGUGACGCUGAAAGAUCUUGCUGUCGAUUCAAUAUCUUAAGGGACUAAAUUAUGGCAAGUGGAAAAGAGACAUGCAACAAGCUGAAAGUUUACUGAUCAUUAUGGCAACAAUUACCUUGGACCAUUUUCUGCAGUGCCUCGAUAGCAAGUGUGUCAGACGAAACAUACAGAGGGUUUCUGGUCAUGAUCUUGGAGAUGAUUGUGUGCUCAACGCGCAGCCCCUCGGCAAUAACCCUUGUGGCUACGUCCUAUAUCAGAAUACAGAAGAAAAAGAAGAAAAAGCAGAGCAUGUCAUUCAUCUCAGAAAUUCUAAACUGGCAGUAACCAUUUCACAUGUAGCAGUCACAGAGACUGCUGAACCAGUUCCAGAAAUAUGGUUGCACACAUUCAUGCAUCAAUGAAUCAAAUCAGCUUACAGACCUUUACCAGAUAUAGACUAAAACCACUGUUCCUAAACAUCCCCCUUUUAAAUCCAAAAUAAGUGAAAACAAGCAUACAGCAUCAGUUUGAAAUUCGAAGCAUUACUCAUUAAACAAGAACAAAGGAACACAAACAUAGUCCAGUCAUAAACUAAAGCUGUACUAUUAAAUAACAAUCAAAGUACCCUAGACAAGCCAUUACUCUAGCCACUCAUUGCAUGCAGAGUUACAGACACAAGCAAUCUUUAUUAGGGCACGUAGAGUACAGUUGAAGACAGCCCACUGUUAGUACCUAGAAAUACCCUACCAUUCCAUUCGAGCUCGAAAACCACUAGACAACAACAGGCAACGAGGAUCCCCAGACAGAAAAAGAGGUCACCUUGUCUGUGACAAUGCCUGAGAGGAGGCCGUUGGCGUCGGUGAGCAGCACGGCGUCGACCCGCCUGGCCGCCAUCCGCCGGCACGCCUCCGACACCGUCGUGCCCUCCGGGAUCGUCAGCGCCUUGGACAGCCGCAGCUUCUUCACCGUCCUCUCCCCUCUGACAACAACCCCAACAUUUUUUUUUCCCGUCAGAACUUCCAUGGAAAGGAGAAUUCAAAAAGGAGGAAAGAACUUUCGGGGGCUUAGUAUCAUUACGCGGCGUGGUUGGGAGAUGCGGGCUUGGAGGAAGGAGCCUUCCCGUUCCCAUUCCCGUUCCCGUUGCCGUUGGCGGUGGUGGCGGCGGAAGCGGAAGCGGAAGCGGAGGAGGGGUCGUCGGACUUGCGGGAGGAGGCGGCGGACGGCGGCCGGCUGCGCGUGCGGCGGCUCUGCGCCACGGCGGUGUUCAUGGCGGCGGCGGAGGAGCAGGGGAGCGUGUGAAGCGCUAAUCAGGGGUUAGACUGAGGUGCGGGGAUCGAAGAGGGAGGCCGGCGGGGAGGCGGCGGCGAAUGUUGGAGGAGGGAGGGGAGCGGUCGCUGUAGACUUCUGUGUGGGUAUUCGUGGUGGAGGCUUUUUACGUUCCAGACCUUCGAUGCUGCAUUAUUUGAGUUAAGACGUUCGUCGUGUCAUGCUUCAAUGCUUCGUGCUUGGUGCAUAAAUGAUAAAAAUAAAUACAGAAAUAGGAGUACUACUUGUAAGUACACCGUAUAAUAAUUUCAACCAUAAAUACUUGUACAUUAGUAUAACGGAAUCAGGAGUAAGUAAAUAUCAUAAAACCCGACCUUUGAGGCUUCUGUAUCCCAAAAAUCAAAUUUACGAGGAUUAAAUCACAUAACCACAUUUUUAGGACACAAUAUAACAACUUACUCAAAACUCAGUAUUAAGAGGUUUUAUUUUCAUUUUUUUGGUGGGGCCAAUUGGUGGGCCUUAUGUGGAGCUACAAGUUGCUACACUGGCCAUCUAACAUGGAGGAGACCUAACCUUCAUUUUCUUGUUGCACAUUUGCCUUUUCUUAUGUGGCAAGAUUUUCGAAAAAAAAUUUGAUCGAGCGAAACGAUAACAUAGAUGGCCAUAAAACAUUAGUCAGAAUACUGGACGACGAAGGAGGUACAACUAAAGUAGGUAUCAUACAUGGAAAACAAACACUAGUGUCGAAGGAGAACGAUGAUGACCCUCGUUUUGGAUGGAGUUGUGGCAUAUUUGCAAUUAGUUGGAAUUCGUACACCCGGAUCUAUGUAAAGCCAACGGCUAUUUAGUAUUAACAAGAGACAGGAUGCAGCAAGCAUACAUCUCAUGGGUCGUUUUUGUGAUACAAAAUCAUGAUCAUUGGAUGAUCCAUGUUCAAACGGCACUUAUUAAUGGAAUAAUCAUUGGCUCAUGUUUUACUUUGAAAAUAAUAAUUAAAACAACAUAUAUUGCAAUGGAAGGAGCAUUCAUUAAUUAAAAAGGAUGCUAUUUUUAUCACACCUUGCAAACAAUGUUGCUUGUGCACCCGUUCUUCACGAGCUCAUAGUGAAGUAGCGAACCAGCCGCGGCAGAAAUUAAUCAGUGUCCUUGACGCCACAGGGACGUCCUCGUGAUAACGUGACUCAACAGGGUGCAAAACGGAAGUUGAUGCCAUGAUGAUAUCGGUGGUAUACGUAUAUCAACUUGUACGCUUCCCAGUUGACUGCGACCGGCCUGGGGAGUCACCGGACGGUGGAGCCAGGUUCUGACAGCUCUAUGGGUCCCUUUCCACGGAUUGGCUGGGUGCGCUCGUCCUGGUAGCUUUGUCGCGCCGCAUCGAGAGAAUCGAUUCGAAUUCUUCCCACGUGCGUAAUAUUCAAGCACUUUUUUCUCCUGUUUUUUUUUUAAGAAAUUGAAAGCUGCCUCUCGUGUGGCCAAUUAUAGUUGCCAAUGGGCCAUCGUUGUAAAGAUGGGCCUUUUGAGGCUUCAUUUAUUUUGCUUUGUAGAUUGGAGUGGGCUGAACAACACAUAUACAUGCGUAUGCACUGGAUCUGUCGGGCCACAUUCUGGGCUAAGCCUUAGGCCAUCGACCCCUUCGGCCCUGUCUGUCGUCUCAUGGCCGUUCCUGAGUUUCCUUAAACAACAGCUAAUGGCAGUGCAUAAACCCUGUACUAGCCUAAUAAACAACUACUACUACGUUGGAUUUAUGCCGGCUGUCAAAAAAAAAGGUUGGAUUUAUGCCGAUACUCUCGUUUUUUUUUAAUGUUUUUGGUUGAUUGUAUAGAGCAAUCCGGGCCAAUGCAUUUUAUGAACGAGGAGUAUGUGUGAGGGUGGAAUUAGCUUGCGUUCGACAAGAUUGUCCAGAACAUACUCCGUCAGUUCCGUAUUAAAUUGAUGUUGUGGAAAGCUAAAAAGUCGAUCAAAUAUUUUGGAACAGCGGUAAUACUCUAAAAAGCAUAGAUUAAGCUACUCUAAAAUGUAAUCUCUAUUGGUGUGUGGGUCUUAUUUUCUAAUUUCCAACAUGAAGUUCCAUACUGCUGAUGAUUUAUGCUGCGUACAGACCAAUCGAGUGGAUGUGUCUCUCAGAAUUAACAAAGAAGCCCACAAUGGUCUUGUCCGCCGGCGCGGUAUAGCGAGUAGAAGGUUGGUUCCUCGGUGCUCCAUAAGGCCCAUACGUGGCCACGUCGGUGAUAAUUAGAAGUUCAACUAUAUAAUCGUCCAAAGUUGCCACUGAUAUUUCCUUGACAAACUCGGAAGGGCCAAACUUGAUCUGCAGAUAGCAUAAAAAGAAACAAAACAUUACUGAAGCGGUCAUGCAAUUUGCCUAUAAAUUAGUUUUAUUGAGCUGCCAUUUUCUUAACGAACCAAUAACAUCGAGUGAAGGGGAUAAAAAUAUAUAUUUAAACGCGCGCACCGUUCAUGUACUAUAGUGAAAGUCAUCGCCCCAAUGACCUGCUGUGUGAACCUGCCCAUCUUCACCGAUGUAAGUAAAUGAAAUUCCAUCAACAUUACUCCCACUCCAGAUUGUCACCGUUUCUAGACGUUGGGGUUUUCCUUCCAUUUCUUGAAGGGAACCGCCAGUUGUACCCCAUGGUGAAAGAUCGGUAUGGUUGGGUAGAGGGGGGUGAAUAGACGACUAACAAAUUUUAAUCUUUUUCUUUUCUAGAAAGAUACAGACACUUAACCUAGGAUUUACUAAAUUCUCUAAAAGUAAUGCAACCCUAGGAUGAAGUGCAAUAGCCGAAGUAAUAGCCGAAGCAACUAGAUAACAAGAAUGUAAAGGAUAAGAAUGGAUACCACACGAGAGACGAAGAUUUCACCGGAGUUCCACCGAUUGGGGUAGGUGCACGUCUCCGUUUGGAGGAGUGCUCUACCACAAAGGUAGAGACGCCACAAAAGCUCACUCUAUUCUCCUCUCACGGCACCACAAAGGUGAGUGAGCUCCACUAAUGACUUCCUUGAAGGCGAAGACCGAACCUUUACAAACUUGACCGGGGCUAGCUCCACAACUCAAUUGGAGGCUCCUAAUCUAAUCCUCAAGCUCCACAAUCCCCAAGGAAAGAGCUCAAGGCAACCACUUCCGUCUAGGGCUCCCAAAUGCCUAAGAGAAAUGAAAUCCACAAGAGAAACAAGGAGAAUCAACUUUGUGACUUAGUGAAACCCUAGAUCUAGGUCUUCUCCUUCAAUUCUCAAAGAAUCAACAAGGAGAAAGCUUUAUGGAGGGAGAUCUAGUAGAAUGAAGCUUAGGGAGUUCUUGGGAGAGAGGGGGCUGUUCUUUGCUUCGUGCUCGGGCAAAAAAACCGUUGGGGACGAAGGGGUAUUUAUUUGGACUUCACAAAAUCUAACCGUUAUGCACCGCGAUUCCCAGGGGCGGAACUUCCACUGGUCACCGGAAGUUCCGGGUGACAGGAAGUUCUGGCCCUGUUCCGGCUGAACUUCCGGAAAUCCACAAUGGAUUCCAGUAGCGUUGCGGACCUGGUCCAGAGGUUGGGCGGAAGUUCCGGUCUACCGGAACCCCACCGGAACUUCCGGACCUGGGCAAGCAAAUGCACAUCAGUUAGGCUCUAUAGUUGGUUCUCUCUCACUUUUUGGGUAGGUUUUAUGUGGAUGCAAGAUGUUUGUUUGUGUACGUGAAAAGCAAUUCACCCAUUACCUUCCCAUGUGGACUCCCUCUUAAUAGUACGGAGUUCCAACGACUCAAUAACCGAAAAACCCGCUACCACUACUCUUCGUCUUCCAACUUGAGGGCAUCGAAUCGUUUUGCGCCAUUUGAUAUCAAAUCUGAAAUACUUAACGCACGAUUAGUCCACACCACACGUUGUCAUCACCACCAAAAUUAACUAGGAGAGAAAUGCCCUUUCACAUGACCCCACCUUUGUUGGGGCCGGAAGUUCUAUUUGCACAUAUAAUGGAGUGAGCAACCAUUGAUAUGCAACAAAUAGUGUGGGAGUAAAAGUAUAGACAUAGACAAGAGAUUAUCUACCGAAGUUUUCGUUAAACUUGUAAUCAGUUCUCUCCAUCAACAUCGGGAAGUAAAGAAAUUAAAAGAAAAUUAAGAUCGAAUUAACCGACCGACAGUUAACACCGACACACCAAUUGUACGUAGUGCUCCACGUACCCUUCAUUGUCUAUCACCACGGAACAUACGCACCCUUUCUUCUUCUCACAUGUGCAUCUACCACCACAUCUCUACCUUGCUCACCCUAGCUAUAGCAUUCCUCCUAGACCACUCUAUAUCCUGUAAUCCAUUGACACGGUGGUGGAUGCAGGUUGUCAAUACCGGUACGGCAGACAGUGUAUGAAUUUUCAAUAUUGGCCGGUGGGCCAAAGACACUGGGAUUCUAUUAAUUUCUUCCUUUUGUGUUGAUAAUUUCGACCAAUGUCUCGUUCCAUGCUUUGCCACCUUGUGUUCUUGGGGCUGUUUAGAUUUUACUGUAACAUGUUCCGUUCUUAAUUAGUAUAAACCUCACAAUCUGCAAUUCAUAUUUUCCUCCAUGCGGUCUAUAGGACGUGGACAGUACGCAGCUCCACUAUGGUUCAACAUGGACACGGCUCAUAUAUCCUAGCUAGCGGUUAGAAACUAAGUGCAAAAAUAGUUACACUUCAAAACGUCAAUAAAUGGAAUUGUUCUGCAUGACUGUUGCAGUCUGAGUCUGUAAUGCUAUAUUAAUGACAUGUGUUGCACACAUCCAUGCAUGUACUUAGUCACCCGGCCUGAUAAAUAAUCGAUCAAUCAGUCAACAAGAAGAAGAUGGCAGGAAGGUACAGCGAGCCACAGAGAAGGAACAGAUCGAGGUCAUCACCAUGAAAGCAAGAAUUAAGAUCGAGAUGUGAGAGCCAUUGCCAGCAGCGGUUGGCACUAGAGACGUGGAUGAACCAGCAUUGGGGCUAUGCAUCGACGGAGAUCUUUUUAUUACGACCUCUUUCAUAACAUAUAGCAAAGGGAAGAAACAACUAACAUCAACUAAAAAAGUUGGCACUGUUAAACGUGGGCCAAGAUCUAGCACAUUUAAAUUAGUUUGAUCAUAACUAAAAAAGUUCUACCAGCCGCUUUCAUAAAACAUAAUUGAAACCAAAUGUGCAUGACAAUUUCUGCCUUGAUUUGUUUGUUGAGUCAACUCCAUUUCCUUUCAUCUACAAUUUAGGGCCAACUUGCAAAAUACCUUGAGUAUUUGUUUGUUUUAGUCAUUUAGCCUUGCGUUACACGUAAUUUUCUCUAAACUAAGAGUUAAUUGUAGCAUGACCGUUUUGGUACUAAAGUAGAAUAUCUCUCCUAUUCAAUGAAAGAUAUCUACAUGCAUCCUAUAAAUUGCUGCAACACUUUGCGUUGAAAGAAUGUAUGCUUGCAACUAGCAACAUUGCAUUGAUGCAAUAACCACUAUAGCCACGCCACAAUACUCAUAUAUAUGCAACGCCAAUGAUAGUUGCUUCUAUGCCCUAUUACUACGUCACAUUGAUGGCAAAAGCCCCUAGGUUAUGGCAACGUUUAAAACAUGUAUCUGAAAUCUAUAGCUACGGCACCUUUACCAUCGCCUGCCAACACUUGCGUUUUGCUGCGAUAUCUAAAUAUUGCAACGAAAAGGGACAUUUUGCAACUUUUUUUUCCCGUGGCCUCUGGUGGAUUCGUUAGUAGUUUAAAUUAUGGAUCAUCCUAUUAUCAUACAUCAAGUCAUAUCCUUCUUAUAAUGACUAACCUUGAGAAUAAUAUUACGAUGAAGAGUUUAUUAUUGGACAAAUGCCGGAGACUUUGCAUGCUUUUUUUCUUAUGAUUUUUAGCAAUCUACAAUAAAGAGGAUUAAUCAUUUUACUUCAUGUGUCUAACCUCAUUACACUUCUAAACACAUUUCUUUUUUGCAUCCUAUUUACACAAUAGGGUAAGUAUCAACCUUGCGGAUGUUGAUAUGUUAAAAACACACAUAGUACUUCUUGAAGUUCGAUGAGGAGUUUUUCCUAAAACCAAUAAAACAAACAGAACCUCGCUGCUCCCCAUUCGCUAAUUGAUGUGAAUAUGAGAUACCGGUGUAUGCUAUACUGUUGGUGUAUGAGAUGGAUGGAAAUAGUUCAUAUGUAUGGGAUUCCUUCGAUGCUUGUAUAUCUGUGUUUGGGUCUAGUGUGGAUAAGUAUAGAUGGAUGGCAAUGGAUUUGUUCAUUCAAUGUGUAUUCAUAUGUAUGCUUGUUGUUCAUGUAUAUAGAUGGAGCAAGAAAAACAGAACCAACCCAAAGCAAAUUGGGAUGCAACCUGCUGCCAGUGCAUUUUGUGGGACAUAGUGUUGAUCACUUCAAACUUCACCAGAGCCAGCUCCAUCAGGGUCAAGAGCUAAGUAUAUUGUAGUUUUGUGUCUCGACGCGAAAUUAAGAGGAUUCAUGUUUCCUUUUUACUUGUGUAUUUAGGUGCACCUCCACGCCUGCAAAUUUAUUAUCCCCGGCAGACGAUAGACUUUUCAUUCUUCAAAAAAAAUAUCUCGUGCCAGUAAAUCCUCUCAUGGCAAGCGUCAGGAACUCAUACAAGAAACUCGAGAAACACAGAAAGAAAGCUCAUUCAACAUUAUCAUCACUUUGAUGCCGAUAAAAACAAUGUAUGGGAUAAAUUUAUUUUUGAUGGAACAUAACAUACAAAGUGACAACAAAUCACUGAUGCAAAGAUGGCACGGGAGGACCCUAGCCAUGCAUACAUUUUAUUCCUAGAACUUGGAAAUUAGAAGCACAACUGAAAGAAACAUGUCACGGCAGUCCUAGCCAUAAUACUUGUUGUUCGACUAGUGGAAAUUAAAUAUGCCACAACAACAUGCAGUUCCAUACUGAUGAUGAUUUAUGCUGCGUAGAGACCAAUCGAGCGGAUGUGCCUGUCAGAAUUAACAAAGAAGCCCACAAUGGUCUUGUCCGCCGGCGCAGUAUAGCGGUUAGCAGGUUGGUUCCUCCGUGCUCCAUAAGGCCCAUAUGUGGCCACGUCAGUGAUAAUUAGAAGUUCAACUAUAUAAUCGUCUAAAGUUGCCACUGAUAUUUCUUUGACAAACUCGGAAGGGCCAAACUUGAUCUGCAGAUAGCACAAAGAAAGAAACAAAUUAGACAACACUGAAUAUGGUCAUCCAAUUUGCCUAUAAAUUAGUUUUAUUAAGCUGGAACUUUCGUAAUGAACCAUUAAAAUCGAGUGAAGGGAUACAAAUAUAUAUUUAAACGCACCGUUGAUGUACUAUAGUGAAAGUCAUCGCCCCAACGACCUGCUGUGUGAACCUGCCCAUCUUCACCGAUGUACGUAAAUGAAAUUCCAUCAACAUUACUACCACUCCAGAUUGUCACCGUUUCUAGACGUUGGGGUUUUCCUUCAAUUUCCUGAAGGGAACCGCCAGUUGUACCCCAUGGCCCCACCUUCGUUGGAGCCGGAAGUUCUAUCUGCACAUGUAAUGGAGCGAGCAACCAUUGAUAUGCAACAAAUAGUGUGGGAGUAAAAGUAUAGACAUAGACAAGAGAUUAUCUACCGAAGUUUUCGUUAAAUUUGUAAUCAGUUUUCUCCAUCAACUUCGGCCGAAGAAAUUAAAACGACCAAAUAUUAUACUUUAGGAUGCGCAUGUUUGUAAAUGUCUUGAGCAAAAGUUGAUGAGAAUGUGAAUAAAAGACGAGAAUAGGAAAGAAUGUUAUGCUCACGUUCUUCAUGCGGCAGAACGCGUCGAUAUUAAGCUCUUGCAUUUCCCCAUUAGUUAUGUCGGAAUGAAAUUUUCUCUCGAUGACACCACGUGCCAUUGAAAAGGCGCCGGUCCCGCCAACGAUAGCCCACUCACCUUGUUUCUUGGCCAUUACUCCCAUUACCUCAAGCGCGGACUCCUUGAACCUAUGUAAUUGCACCGAAAAAUAUCAUGCAGGUACCCAAACAUAUCUAGCUAAUAUUAUAGUGCAUGACAAGUUAGUUUGUCGACUAGCUACGUAUAUAUAGCUAUCCACGCUGCCUGCCUAGCUUACUACAAGGUAAAAACAAAGUUCAAUGGAAACUUAAUUUGAACAUACCUUUCAUUCUGGAACACCAUGGUGAAUGAAAUGUACCAGCCAGCGGCAUUCAUAUGCAUGCCUUUUGCAUGGGCAACUACCUCCGCGUCUGGACCCACACCGUCAUAGAGCGCCCAAUUGUUGACGGCGGUCUGACCGAGCCUAGUACUAUUGUCUCCCCUUAUUAUUUCUAACUGGUUGGCACUUGGCCCAGAAAUGAUGCGGCGCAAGUACAAGUUGCUGAAGUUAAGCCUAGCAUUCUCCACAAGAUCACCGUAGCAACGGAUGACCUGGAAGCUGCUGGAGGAUUUGGCCAUGGGUGAGUGCUGGGAACUAGCUAGCUAACUGUCAACUAGGGUAUGGUCUUGCUAGCUUGGCUAAGUUUGGUUGUUUGCUGUGUAAAAUGCAGCAGAUGGCGAGGGGUAUUUAUAGGACCAGAAUCAGGGAAGCCCAUCCAUGCACCACCUUCUCUAUUCCUGUUUACUUGGAGUACUGCUGUUUUCAUCACAUGCAUUAGGAUUCAGGAGCGGCUAGUUCAAGCACAAGAUAUGAUUAAUUAGAACAUCCAAGAGAAAGCGCGUGGCACUUGCUUAAAAGAAAAGAACCGACAAAGAGUAUCAUUUGUUUCAAAGAUAAGUGAGCUUGUUAAUCACAUGAUCAAUUAAAUGGUGACAUGGAUCGAUAGACUUUAGACGAUUUUACUGAGGCACGUGAUUCAGUAAUUAAGAUCUCAUUUUGUCGGCUAUGAUAUUAAAAGCAUAUCUACCAGAGAUGCCAACGUGAAGUCCCUCUGGAAACAAAAAAAUAUUUACACCAGCUGCUGUUGGACAUUUGGAUCUUAAAAAUAUUUUUUACUAGUGCUAACAAUGCUUUCGAUAUCAGCAGAGCGGCAUUGUGGUACGUGAAGCGUGCGUGGCAGAUCGAGCACGUUUUCUUAACCGACAAACGGGGCAAAAUGGUGUAAUUUCCUCGAAGCUUGGACAAGCAACUGUGAAAUUAAACUGCUAGCCUAUACCUCCAAAUAGCUCCCCUAUUUUUUUUUUCUAGAAUCAUUUAUAGAAAGGAGAAACUCCAAACAGCUCCCCUAUUUUUCAUAGCUAGUAGCCGACGAUAGGUAUAUUUAUAUCAAAAUGGUUCAUCAAUGACAUAAGGGCAUCUCCAAUGGUGGUUGGUACUAAAUUUGUGUUCUUCAUUUUUUUUAAUGUGUUUCCUUUUUCUUAUUCAUAUUUUUUUUUGAUGAACCCACAUGUCAUCCUCUUUUCUGUCUUGGUAUCCGUAUAGUACCUGUUACUUUUUCAAGUAACCACUAAUUAGUUGUGGUAUUUAUCUCUCCUCCACAUUGACCACUAUCUUUUUGGUAUCCGUGUAGUACCCAUUGUUGAAGAUGCCCUAAUACAUGAGACACAAGUUAUACUUAUACAUAUGAGGUACAAUUUUUUUGACUUCCUACGUUUAUAUUGUGUUCCCACCGGCGGUGGUGAUUAGUUAAACAAUAACUUAGCAUAUUGCAAUAAACAGACGUUAGAACUCUAUCUUAAACUAAAUUUUAUUAUAUCACAUACAAAAUCUAUAUAUGUUGAGUUGCAUACACCAACUAAUUAAUUUUAUUUUACUUUACUAGCACAUUGUAGAAGAACUGGUGCCUCCUUUAAUUAGAGGUGUAGAUAUCGAAGGAAAGUGGAGCGAGUCGCGGUAGAGGUGGGAUGAGUGGAUCCAGAUGUAGGAGUCGGAGGAGAUGAUGAUAACGACGGGUUGUACAUGUGGGCUCACAAGCUUUUUCACAGGUCGAGUGGAAGCCAGGAGACUCCCAUUUCUGGGCCGGUCUGAUGAAGGUGAAGCGAGAUUUUCUUCGCUUCGGAUCCUUUCAUAUCCAAGACAGGUCUCAAGUUCGCUUUUGGGAAGACAUCUGGCUAGGUACACGCCCACUUUGCGAGCAAUACCCGAGUCUUUUUGGUAUCAUCCGGAACAAGCACGAUACCAUCGCCCAAGUUCUCAGUUCACCCAUAGGAAUGUUUAUUUUCAGUUAGCUCAAUGUACCACGUGUUGGUCCAUAGGCAAUUGUGGAAACUAAAAGUGCCUCUCAAGGUAAAAGUUUUCAUGUGGUUGUUGCGACAAGGGGUCAUUCUCACAAAAGAUAAUUUGCAAAAAUGAAAUUGGCAUGGAAACCCAAAGUGUGCCUUUUGUGCUCAGAUGAGACGAUCAAGCACUUGUUUUUUAAUUGCCAGUUCGCACGUUCUGCAUGGUCCACCAUUCAGGUGGCUUCUAACCUUCGCCCACCAAAGCGUGUCAAAUAUUUUUGGCAAUUGGCUAAAUGGUAUAGGUACAAAGUUUAGAGCUAUAAUUUUGGUGGGGCGACCGCUCUUUGUUGGUCGAUAUAGCUGUGCAGAAACGAAAUUGUAUUUAACAAUCGACAAUCCACCUCUUUUAUGUAGGUUAUUUACCGUUCAUGGUCGUUGCUUCAACGAGAGGAAGACAUUACCUAUGAUUACGGCCGCAUGCUUGCAAGUGAAGCGGGCAGUCAGGGAGGUGUUCACCCACAAUGGGUGGCAGCAUAGUUUACGUCUGCAGGCUUCUUAAUUAGCUGAUGUUCGGUUGUAGUUAUUUAUUUUGACUCUCGGCUUUGUUUGGUUUUCCUUUGGUUGUGUGCAUCUUUGUUAUGCAGAGGCCGGGUGCAUGCGAACUCUGUUUGGUGUAUCUUCUUGAUGCGACAUCUUAGUUCAAUAAAGCUUCCAUUAGGAAAAAAAACCACGGUUGUUGAGGCGGCGCGUUUCUACGAGCUUGGACCGAGGCAGGAGCACCUGCCUGCCACCGUGGGAGGCACACAGUACAUAGUUGGUGACGACACGGCGAACCGUGGCAUCACACUAUUGGGUCAGCCCCGGUAUGUACAUCCAUACACCACACCACUUAUAUUCGUUUCUACGUGGAGUAUUUAUGAUCGGACUCCUAUUUUCAUCACGGGCGUCAUGAGCGUGGAUCACGGUGUAGAUCAAUUAUCACAUUCAAAUGAGAGAGCAUACCGUUGUAUCACAUUCUACCGAGAGAGCACAUGCAUGACGCUUCCACGAAGGUUAAAAAAACCCCGACCAAGAGCAUAUCAUUUGUUUCAAAGCUAACAGACCUAUUUAAUAAUUACUCCCUCCGUUUCAUAAUUCUUGUCAAAAUAUUACAUGUAUCUAGUCGCUUUUUAGGAAUAGAUACAUCCGUAAUUCUUGUCUCAAAUUUGCCCAAAAAUGAAUGUAUCUAUUCCUAAAAAGUAUCUAGAUACACAUAAUAUUUUGACAAAAAUUAUGGAACGGAGGUAGUAGUAAUCACUCAGAUUAGUGCUGGCAUGGAUGGAAUUUAGAAAGUUUUACCGAUGCACGUUAAUUAUUAAGUGUUUCAGGUUCAGCGUCAUCUUUCUACAGAGAUACAUGUGCCCUCUGUUUUUCAUAAUGAUGUUUGUAGUUUUCGUUUUGCAUGCCCUGGCUAGGUCAAUUUUUCCUCUAACAUUCAGUAAGCGUGUAGAAAAAUGUACCACUGUCUAAAACACUAAAUUAAUUUAUUCGAUCUAUAUGGAUGAGGAUAUAUGCAAUGAUUUCUCAACAUGUUUGAAGGAUUAAAGGAUGUCCUAAGUGAAACGUGGAAUUGUCCAGAUCUUGAACAGGGAAAGCAUUCCUAAUUUGAGCAGCAAGAUUGUGGUCCACCUUCUUACUAAAAAGAAUAGCAGAUUUGUUCUAGUUGGGGGUCUGGCCCGAGUCGCGACAAAAGUCAUCAAUGAUUUGUCGGACAUUUUUCGCUUCCUGACAAGUUGCCUGACCACAUAUCAGAAGAUCAUCUGCAUACAUUAAAGAAUGAAUAGGAGGGCAAUGUGGGCCAAGAGAGAUACCAUUGAGCUGUCUACUCUGCAACGCUUCCUGUAAGGAGAUGGAUAAUUCGUUAGCAGCAAGGACAAAGAGGUACGGUGAUAAAGGACAUCCUUGUCUUAUUCCGCGGCUGACAGAGAAUCUCCCAAAAGGUUGGCCAUUAAUGAUAACGGAGAAGGUAGGCAACGAGAUGCAGGCCAUGAUGAGAUUAAUGAAAUUACCAUGCAGCCCUUUACGUAGAAGCGCUCUCCGAAUGAAGUGCCAUUCUAGACUAUCAAAAGCCUUGGCUAAAUCGAUCUUGAGCAUGAAAGCUUUGUGAUUCCAGGAAGAGAGAUUGAAGGAGUGGGCUAUUUCUUGAGUUACGAUUAGAUUAUAAGUGAUACGCCGACCUAAUAAAAGCUUAUUGCAUAGGGUCAAUAUGAUCAGGAAGAUGACAUUUGACUCUGUUAGCAAGAGCCUUAGAAAUGAUUUUAGAAAUGACAUUACAGAGGUUGAUAGGUCUAAAAUCAGUAGUAGAAAUUGGAACCAUUUUCUUAGGAAUUAAAGCAAUAUGAGUUUCAUUGAGUUUAUGUGGCAUUAUACCUGAGGUGAAAAAAUUUCUUACCACCUUAACAAUGUCAUCUUCAAUCCAAUCCCAAGGUGCAAAAUAGAAUCCCACAUUGAAGCCAUCAGGUCCUGGGGAAGCAUUCUUUUUCAUGGAUUUAAGAAUCUGCAAAAUUUCAUCUUUAUCUGGAAUGGAAUAGGUAUACUCAUCAGGGAGCUCCUCAUCUGCUUCAUGCUCCGAUAGUCUAUCAUGUUCAUUGUUAGAGGAGGAAAACAAUUCAAUUCCAAACUUAAUGGUUUCAAGGCCAAUCGUCUCUCCCAUGCUGGUAGACUCACGCUCAUUAAUUCGGUUUUUUCCUCCAUUCCUGUCCACUAUAUGUCCAAUUUCCUUUUUUCCAGAAAAUUCUUAGCAAAGCUCACUGCUAUCAUAAGGAAUUUCUGGUGGACUGAUGUCACGGAUAGAGAUUCAACCAAACCCCUUUGUCUUAAAGCUUGGGAUGACAUUUGCAAACUCAAGAAGAUGGGUGGGCUUGGAACCAGAAGCAUCCAUGCCAUGAAUAAAAGUCUUUUAGUCUCUUCAACCUAGAGGAUCGUCAAUGAGCCCAACAGCCAUCUCUCGCUAAUCCUUAAAGCCAAAUAUUUUCCAACAAACUCCUUUUGGAAGCCUAAUUGUAACACUCCCAAAUCUUCUUUCUGGGCUUCCAUUUCCAAGAUUAAACACAUGCUUUAUGACUCCUGUUUUUACCAAAUCAGAGAUGGUAAUAGCUCCAUUUGGAGUUCCCCCUGGUUCCCUUACUGGAAAAACAUACAUGAUUACCUUAGAAUCCAGAACAAGCCUUUUUCUUACCCGGCUGUAGUUAAAGAUCUUUGGCUUGAUAAUUGUAAAGUCUGGAAUGCUAACUUGGUUUUGUAGCUCUUUGAUCAACCGGCGGCGGAUGAAAUUCUCAGAACUGCCAUUUUACCAGGAGAUGGAGAAGAUAUCCUUUGCUGGAAACACAAUGCUUCUGGGAUUUGCACUACUAAAGAGGCUUAUAAAUUUUGUGCUCAAAGUCUUCAAUCCUCUACUUCUCCUACCACUGAUUCUCAACAGGUAUCUUCUGCCAUGAUGGAAAUUUGGAAAAGCAAAACCAUUCUUCCUAGAAUAAAGAUAUUUGCUUGGCGUCUCCUUCAAAAAGCCCUUCCCACAGGUAAAAGAGCAGGUAAAUUUCUAAGAACAUCUCAAAAAACUGCAUCAGGUGUGGAGUGAUUGAGGAUGAAGUUCGUAUUUUCUUUCUUUGCCCUUUUGUCAAGGCUGCUUGGUUUGCUUCCCCCUGCUAUGCAACACAACUCUAUCAUCAAUAUUCUUGCUUCUAUUUCUCAUUCAAGUCAUCCAAAUGCUUCCAUUCAAAACAUCUUCACCUUCAUCUGGUGCAUUUGGAAGUCCAGGAACUCUCACCUCUUUAGCAGGAAGGUCACCUCCCCUUUACAGAUUGCUUCAAAUGUGAAUAACUUGUUUGCAGGGUUGGAGCUGGAGUCUACUGCGGAUUUGAACAAAAAAACAGGAUCUUCCACACUCUUACUCCACCCCCAUUUCUACUUCACAAAUUUCUCAUUUGCAGGGCUUUAACGUCUACUCUGAUGCAGCUUGGAAGUUGCCUGGUGAUGGCAAUGAUGCUUCAAUUGCAGGUCUUGGUGUCUUCAUCGAAUCGCUGGGCCCAAACAACAGAUGGAUAGCCAAGAUUCAAGCUACUUCUUCCCCAGUCUCUUCAGCUCUGCAGGCUGAAGUUCUAGGUGGUCUCCUUGCUGAAGCAAAGCAGAUCACAGAUAAUCAAAUCCUGAUGGUUGCCUGUCAGCUGAAGGAUGUGAACAACCACCCUGGUCACUGGUCAAUAAGAGCUUAUCUAUCACAGAUCAUUGAUAUCCAUUCUAGGUUGAAUAACAGGAUGAUUUUCACUCCAAGAGACAACAAUACUUUAGCCCAUCAAUUAGCUAAGGAUGCUAAGAAAAGGGGUAACAACAGCCCUAUCAUCUCUUGUACCAAUGAUUUUCAGAGGACUGUGGGUUGUCCUUUUAGACAACGGUGUAACUCCCAAAGUUCUGUUUUAUACAGGCUUCGCCAUGUACUAUGUUGUUAAUGAAUAAAUUCCCUUUCUUAAAAAAAAAAACAUGUUUGAUUGUUAGACGUCGGUCAUUAUUGAACCCUCACACGCGGAAAAUGUAUAGGCCCCCGGCCUCCGACCCAGCAUCUCCAUUGGGCCUCCGACCCAGCAACAGGGCCCCCGAGGCUGUUCUAAGAAAAAAAAAAGCAGAAACAAAAAACAGGGCCCAUCGAUGUGGCUGUCCACCGAAAAGGUACAAUGCUUGGUUUUGGACGCGAAAGAGGGUGUGGGCUGUCCAUCGAAAGCAUAUCACCGUUGGGCCUCCAACCUGGCUGGACGCACACCUACACCAACAGGGCCAAGGCCCUAGGGGCAUAUUCGCUCAUAUUUCACCCUUAAAUGAAAUAUGAAGCAACAAAAAAGCAAAAAAAAAAAAAAAGCCCAAGGGCCAUCGGAGCGGAAUCCAUGGCGGCCGCCGCCUGCUGCUCAUCGCCGUGCAGUCCGCCGGCGGGAUCCUGACGACGGCGAGAAGAUUGGAACGGCCAGCCGGGCCCCGCGGCGCGGAGGAGGGAGGGAGUUCGCUCCAGUCGCGCCGCCCGCGAAGAAAGGCCACACUCCUACCCUGCGGAGCCCGGUGCCUCGAUCCCAGGGGCGGCGGAGGGCGUCCUCGUCUCCCAUGAGCUGAAGCCGCCGGCGUCUUGCUUCAAUGGAUCUCGGAGGUAUGCAAUCUCGCUAGAUUAUGCCCCUACAGUCCUACACAUAGCACACGGCGGUUCUCUUCUCUAAUUUAUUUUUGCAUACAAAAUCCCGGCCCAAAUUCAACAUGGUCGUAUAAGGGAAGAACAGUUGCUGUCCAUGAAUCCAUGAUCCUACCAAUGUAGUAGAACUAUACGUACUAAUAAAACCAUGGAAAUAGAUAAUGCCUGGUUUCUCUUCUCAUCUGAAUCAAACAUCUAAAUUGUGGACUGUCUGAGCUUAAUUAGUAAUUACCGCCUUUCCAUAAAAAAGGAGCUUAUUACCACCUUCAGAGAAUGCAGGCAUGGUUAGGAGUUGAGACCACUUGACUUGACCGAUCCAUGGAGCUUGGAUGGACCACCUUGGCUGAUCCAUAUGUCUACUUGUUCCAGCUUGCAAUUUCAGCAGCAUAAUGUACAUGUCAGCUAAUUUGCCGUUAACUUCAAACCUGCUGCCAUCAAAUAGCAGCAAGCUGCAGGGAAGAAAAUAUGGCAAACUUAAUCACAAUACAAGCUAUCCCAAAAGUGUAGUGCGAAAUACACUAUAACUAAUAAAAGACGGCAAUAGGAAGCUCUAACAACAACGAAUUAAGGGGAGUUUUGUUUGCCCAGAUCCUUUGCAAACCGCAAAUUCUUCACUAGUUCACUCCUUGCGAUUUCAGUUUUGUUUGCCCAGAUCCUCUGGACGUCCUUCUAUUAAAUUAAUUUGCCGUUUCUCAUUCUGGAAAAUAACCCUAACAGCAUACUACAUUUACAUGGUAAAUUACAUACAGUCAUACAGAAUUGCGGAUACAUGAAUCAACAAGUAGCAUGCACUCACCAUGUAUAAUAUUUGGAUCAUGCUAAUUCCUGAAGCUGCUUGGGUGGUUCUUUGCUUCACUAUCCUUUUGGUUUUGAUUCGCUGUAUCUGUCUGAGCAUUCCUCUGCUCCCUUUCGCCUUUCGGCCCUAUAAUUGCUUGUCCUGCACUCAUGAGGACUCAUUUACGUCCUUAUUAGGUUACUCCUGCAUAGGUUGAACAUUGCUGGUUUUUCUAUUAUUCUGCUGAGUUGCUUCAGUAUUGCCUUCAGGUGCUUCAUCCUUGUCCCACAGUCUGCUCUUCUGGAUACCACAGUGCCAAAGGAAUGCCCAGAUGAGGACUAUGGAUUCACCUCUUGCUUAUCAAGGUUGUUCUUGUGAUCUGCUGCAUUCCACCUGGAGGCGAUGUGCACAAGUAAGUCAGCCCAGACUCCAGCUAUAAUCUACCAACGGCUUUCUUCAUUCUCGUAUUUGAUGAGAUCCUUGACUAGAGUAGCACCUUGCUCAAUUAUGCUCAUACUAAGCCUCCAUCCACACUGUGGCUUCCAUGAGUUUGUUAUAUCUAUAUUGAAUCAAGUUACAAUCUGUGAGUCGUCGGCGAGCAUGUCCCACGGUUUCCGAAAGAUAACCUCGGGUACAACAAAACCAUCUGGAAAUAUUCCAGGCUGAAAAAUCUGGAAACAGCACGGAGCACAGUAUUGUGGCUGUUGGAGAAGAUUUAGUUUUCAGCCAUCUGGUUUGGAUAUAAACUGCUUUCACGAUAUGCCAACGAUUUUUGUUGCGCUUGUCGUCGGCUCAUGCCUUGGAAUUUGCAACCAUCCUGGAAAUCCUGGCCAUGUAGAGUUAAGCUACGGUUAGGAUUCAAAACGGCACCAGCGUGCCCUUAUACAUAGAUACAAAGGCAGACGAUUUUCUUCCAUAUUAUUUGAUAUUUCUUAUAAGUCGUCUAAAAUUAAGCAUAAGGUGUAACUUCGGGGACAUCUGAUAAAACCCAUAUGCUGCAUAUAAUUCGAUGAAGACAUGUACAUAUAUAUCCAAGAAGUUGAAACAAAACGAGAAAAACAGCCAUGAAUAAAUCACACAUGCCCACGUGCACGGGAUGCAUGAUGUCUGUGGAUCAGGCUGCAAUGAGGUCAACAAGGUCUAGCAGCUGCUGGCCAUGGUCGGUAUCUGCACCGAGGAAGCCAGCAUGCGACAGCCGAGAGCAGAGCCCAGAGGUGCGUCGUCAGCUCUCCCUGCCCUUGGAGGUGUAUCUGAUGAUUGGCUGCUCUCGUGGACGCCGACAGGUGCAGGAGAAACCCUGCCCAAAACUUACCCAGGCUCCCUGUCGACAGCACCAUAUGUGGACAUGAGCUCCAUCGACAGCUUCGCGCCGAUCUUGACAAUGGACAGGCCCUUCUGCUGGUCAGGCGCCCACACCGUCGCAACUAGCGUGUCAUGGACCUUCCCCAUCGUGCGGCAACCCCUCAAAUCAUAGUAGACCUCUUCACGGCGUCGAACACCUUAUUGGCCACGAGGCAUUGUCUGGCACCAGCGCCUCCGUGUCCAGGUAGGCGCAAUAGUUGGACAGGCUCACCACGCGCCUCAAGGCCCCGAAGAAGGGUGGAGGGCAGGCUCAACGUGUACAAAUCACCUGGGGAUCCUGUGGCUUCCCCCCAGCAGCAGCAGCAGCAUCAGCUUGAUAUGUCAGAGGCUGGUGGCGACAUGCCAUACCCAGAACCUUGUGGGGUCACCGGCCUUGAGCGCGUGGUGGAUAGCGCUGAUUUUGGACUGCAAUAAUCUCUUUUCGGCGAAGGCCUUCCAAUGGUGAGACAUGAGUAAUUUGUUUCUCUUUUCCUGAUCCCAGAACACAGCAAAGAACGACAGAAACAACAGGCGAACACAAGAGGGAUUUUGCGACACCUUAACUUGCGCCUUUUCUGACAUUUCUUUUUUAUUCAAUCGCGGAACUCAGCAAAAGCUUGCUGGCCCGACAUGUCCGCCAUGACCCAACAUACACGCCCUCUAGGGCGACCAGAUCAAAUAACCAUAUAUAUCAGCUAGCGUGAUCAUAACUUUCAGGUUUACAAAACUGACGUGAGACGAAACAUAAAUAACGUGGUUUGAGAUACCACACAACAAGGCUUAACAUUAACCGUGUACUCAGGCAUUCAGGUCAUCUGUGUCAAGCAUCUGAUGACCAUGGGUGGUGUCACCAAGGAAGCCGGCGUGCGACAGCAAAGCCCAGAGGAACGUGGUGAGCUCUCCCUGCCCUUGGAGGUGAACCUGAUGCUUAGCUGCCGUGGUGUUUGCCGACAGGUUAAGGAGAUAUCCCGCCCAGAACCUGCCCAGGCGCUCCCAUAGGUCCUCCCCGUCGACGGCGUAUGUUGACAUGAGCUCCAUUGACAGCUCCGUGCCGAUCUUGACGAUUGACGGGCCAUUUUGCUGGUGAUCAGGUGCCGACAUCUCCGCAACCAGUGCGUUGUGGACCUCCCCCAGCGUGCUGCACUUGCUCAAAGUGUAGGCAGCCUCUUCACAUACUGCGUUGAACACCUUGUUGGUGACAAUGCCAUUGUCCGGCACCAGGGCCUUGGUGGCCAGGUAGGCACAGUAGUUGGACAGGUUCACAGCCGUGGAAUAAUGCUCCGGCAGGCCUGCCAUUGGGCAUAGGCUGUACAAGUCGACUCCGGCAGAUUCCCUGGCUUUCAUCUUCAGCAGCAGCUUUAUCUGGCAGAGGUUGGUGGCGACAUGCCAGACCAGAAUUCUUUGGGUCUCGCCGGAGUCGAGGGCACAGUAGAUAUCGCUGAUUUUGGAUUGCAGCUGUCUGUUGUUGCCCAAGGCCUUUCGGUGUUGAGACAUGAGUAAUCUGUUUCUCCUUUUCUGAGCCAAAGCCGAUGAUGGUUUCUUCUUCGCAUCUUCAGCAGACGCUUCGCUCACGACUUGGUUGAGUGACUCAAAUAUCACCCUCUGUACGUUAAUCCCCAGCUUGACUGAUCUGGCAAGGCAAAACGAUAUUUAUUCAUCUUGAAAGAUGAGACUUCUAUAUAUAUUAUAAAUGGAAUCUAUAUAUUCCAAAGUACACAUAGCAUCUGGCCUGGCAUUUUUGGAACUUACUAGCUAGGCAGUGUUAAAUCAAGAAGGAAGGAAGGUGUUGUUUGCAUGAGUAUAUACCUGGAGCGAAGUCGUCUAUUUCGGGUGGUUUUAGCUCGAGCGGCCAUCAAUAGGUUGUGCUGUCGUAUGUUUUGAUGCCACCGGCCCCUUCUGACGAGGCAGAACAUGAUCCUGGCCACCUUCUCCAUCACAAAGCGAUGGAGCAUCGGGGUCCACCCUGUCGGACUCUGUGGCAGCCGGAUGUAGUGGCAGAUGAUCACCACCUUGGUCCACUGAGACAGCACGUAGACACCCAUCUCCCACAGCUCCCUGCAGACCAUGAUCAAGAUGAUGAAGCGCGUGACGGAGCCACCGUGGGUAAUCCUCGCCAGGUAGCCGCCUUUGGUGACGGCAAUGGUUGCUGUGGGCAGGCCACGGACAGCAUACGCCAGGUAGGACGCUGCACCGGUCAUGAGCAGAGACAGCAUCAGCCUCAGCGUAGGGAAGCCGUCAGCGAAGACGACCGGGUGCUUGCUGUAGGACAAGUCCUGGAACAAAGACGGCUCGACCUCCGUGACGCGGAACACCCUCGUAGCCGUGGUUUUCCGGUUGCUCGUCGAUAAGGUGGGCGACGAGCUUCCUUGAGGCCGGGUGAUUGGCCUCCGGUAUGGGGAAGUCGAAGAAGCGGUGGCGGAGAAGCUUGUAGAGUGCGAAGGAGAGGCACAUGUCCUUGAACCGGCUGUCGCGGUCGGCGCCCCUGCCCAGCAACUUGUCUUGGGCGUCGUCACUGCAUUUCCAUACCCUGGCCACCGUGAUGAGGUCCUCUUUGUGUGUCUUGUCCAGAUGAAACAUGAACCUGGGCCUCUGGAUCAUCUUCACCUGCCAUUCUUCCCCAAGGACUAAGUAAUCAUACCAGGCCAUGAAUGUGGUCUCCGCCUCGGUGAUGGCGCUGGUGUCGUCCUUCUGCUGCCUGGACGCCAUGUAGUUGCUGACGAGCUUCAUGUUGUCGACGCAGGCGCCGGAUGCCUUGUUGGAGAAGUAGAACCAGAUGACCCGCAACGCGUGAAUGGUCCAGAUGAUCCAGAGAGGCGCCUUGAGGUACCUGGCUGUUCUUGCCCGGAGCUGGUUGGUGGACCACAGGGAGUUGAGCAGGUCCAGCGUGGACAGCUGCCGGGGCUUUUACGGCCGCCUGAUUCGGGCGCUGUCCUGCAUGGUGACAAUUAGGAUGGCCCAUACCUGGAAGAGGUCGUUGGUGACGGACCCUCUCUCGGCGGAAAACGGCUGCAUCAGGCCGAGGCUGUAGGACACAAAGUAGUGGCUGAGUAUCAUGAUGAUCUGGACGCCGAGCUUGACGUUCUGGGACGAGACUGUGAACCGUGGCCCAAUGGCGCCCACGGCGAACUUGAGCAGCAGCACCACCACCGACGACACCACCCAGAACUGCACGCUUGCUGCACGGGUCGACGGGUCAUGCUGGAACAGUGAUCGCACCGUCUCGGGGAUGGAUGACAGAAACUCCGACGCCAUCUUGCUGGCCGGCCCCAGGUGGCAACGCCCUCCUCGGUACUACGUACCCAGCUAGCUCUACUAGCUCUGGCCCGUCAAGGCUCUAUCCGCCUCCGUUUCGAGAUGUGCGGCAAGUAGGCGGUCAGUAGCUGCUAAUACAGGUAUUUCUCUUUUUUUAAAGAAGGAGCAAGCUCCAGAUUUCAUUAAGGAAAUCACACAAGGUUCAAGGUUGCUCCUAAUACAGUUUACUAGUACUAUUUUCUUCGUUAUGGACCACAACGACAGGUGCCUGGCGCUUAGAUGUAGACCAACCUUGUGCAUAUGCUAGGAGAUAUCGAGUGUGAAACUAAUGUACUAUAUAUUUCACAAUGUGUCAUACUCAUUACACGCAACAACUGGGGCUUUUCUGCUUUCCUUCGGCCUAUUCAGCCCCAAAGCCACCGGCAAGCCACCGGCUGUUAGGGCGAGUUGGCGUGGGCAGUCUUCUUCUUUUCAGCUUAGUAAAACAUCGAAGCCCCCAAGCUCUCAAUUGUUCGUGCGAGUUGGCGAACUUGGGCGGAUAGUUUUCUUGUUCUCUCAUUUUAAGAAAAUUUACAUCAAAGCCUCCAAGCCCUCGAUUGUUUAGGCGAGUUGAAUAACUCGGACGGGAAGUUUGUGAUGGUUCUAUAGACUUGUCUAUUAAAAAGGUUAGAGUAACAUGUCAGAAAAUUGAAAAACCCCAACGGAAGCAUAUGGUGAAUAACUUUCCUAAAGAUAACCCAAGAGCCUGAUAUCUUACACAAACUCGAGGUGCGGAGAGUCGUGGAACUUGCAAUUAGAAAGCCCUGAGCUUAUAUGAGCGGGGAAGGGCAGAGAUGCGGGCUCGUUUCAUGAGUGGGAACAAUGUGGGGAAUAGACCACACUGGACCUGGUAGACUUUAUUCAUGAUAUAAAAAAGAGGCUAUACCGAUAUGAUCCACGUUUUUGUAUAAGUCAGGGAUCUCUUCGUCGUCACACGCAAAUCGAUAUGAUCCACGUCGUGGGUUGGCUAUACCGUAGUGAAGGGGCCUUCCCACUUAGAGAUGAGAGUUUAUUUUGUUCUUUGGUGGAUUGGAUAAGUGGGAGAACGAGAUCCCCAACAUAUAUCUGGAGUUCUCUUCUUGGCGUUGUGCUUCAAAAUGGCGUCAGAGCUAGUCCUUGCUGGUAGAUAACAACUAGUACUAACGACAUGGCGCAUGUUCUUCGACUGUGUCAAGGUCGUCCUGUCGACACGAAAAACCGGCUUCCUCGUGAAACUAGAUUGCCUGAGGGACCUGAUCUUGAGUUCAGAGGGCAACAUGCAUGGUCUCAGCCUCGAAGACCAUAGUUAAAGAUGUGUCGCUCAUACGUCCGAAACAUAUCUAAUCCUUUCAAAGUUUCCAUUCAUGUUUUUAUUGUUUUUAGUAAGUUUUUGGACUUCAUUACAUUUAACAAACGUCGUCUUCAUUUUGUUAUUUCAGGAAUUUAAACAGGACGUCAGCAAAAUGACGGAGCCAGGGCCCAUACGAAGGUCUCGGGCGACCAGAGCAGACGUCCCGGACCUUUGGCCUGGGAGCCUUCGUCGCCGUCGCCUUUUGACAUAUUCUUCGUCCCCCGACUUAAAAGACAUUUUUAUAAAUUCCGUGCACAGAAAAAACCGCCUAUUAGAAAGCGAAGCAAAUCCAUAGAAAUUUCUGCCGCCGGAAAAGGACCUGACUGUACCAGCUCGUGAUACCUAAGGACCUGGAUUCAGUGAAGUCACUUCACCUGACUUUGGGUGGCUGACAUGUGGGUCCCAUGACCCAUUGGCCCACGUGUCAGCCACCCGUUGGAUUCAGUGAAGUUACUAGUACCGAACUCUACCGAUGGAGCUCUAUCCUUCCCGGAGAUGCGCAGCAAGUAGCUCCGAAUGCAGUUUUUUACUAGUGUGCCCGCUACGGACCACAAAGAAAGACAGGUGCGCGCGGCCGCGCAUUCUGUCUAUUAUAUACUGCUCAGCUUAUUUUGUAUAAGCACUUAGAUGUAGACUAAACUUAGCCCAAACUUACACAUAUGCUAGUGUACUUUGAUACUCGUAACGAUAAUUUAGAAAAGCUGACCCCAGCUUAGCCUCUUGCAAGCAAUUUGACAUAGACCGCCGUAUACAUUAAUUACUCUAUAUAUGUAACCAAAGGGAAUGGCCCUCGCAAUUUUGUACACAUUCUCUUAGUCUAUGGUUUCGGAAAUUAUAAUGAGCUAACGUCUCAGCUCUCCGGCAUGCAAACUCACUCAUUCGACCCUAACCUCCCUUUUGCUAAUUGCAUUUCUUCUUCACAAAAUAAUUAGAUUAUUAAUAUAAUUACCUUGUUAAUAUAUAAUUCAUGCGAUUUAAAUUGAUACCAUUUUAUUCGAAUACAAAAUACAUAUUUAUGGUUAUGAUUUGGAUCAUAUAAGUCUCAUAAUAAUGGAGAGCAGUUGCUGACCAUGAAUCCAUGAUCCUACCGAUGUAGAACUACUAGUAAACCAUAGAAAUGGAUAAGGCCUGGGUUUUUUUUCACCUCUUCUCAUCUGAAUCAAAUAACUAACUACAUUGUGGACUGUCUGAGCUUACCACCACCUCCAGAGAAUGCAGACAUGGUUCGUAGUUGAGACCCCUUGACCGAUCCAGAGUAGAGUUGAGACCCCUUGACUGAUCCAUAAGUUCACUUGGUAUUCCAGCUUACAAUUUCAGCAGUGCCAUCUGAGCAAGCAGGACAGGAAGUAUGCCAAUUUAAACCACAAUUCAAGCUAUCCCAAUGUGUAGGGUGAAAUACACAAUAAGCAUUAACAGCAACGUCCAGCAGUGACAACAAAUUAAGGGGAAUUUUGCCAGGAUCCUUUGCAAACCGCAAGUUCUCUAUUCCAACCGAUUCACUGAACUUGUUCAAGUCACUGUUGUGUUUGAUCUAGAUGUCCUUCCAAGUAAAUCUGGCAUUUCUUUUUCGAGAUCAGUUUAUCAAUUUCUCGUAUUAUGUUACGGUUUUGCUAAAUCUCAGGCAACUGAGAAAUAAGGAAAUAGCUUAUUUCUUGGUCGAUCUUUUUUCAGCCGUCCGAUUUGCUGAUGCCUCAAGAUUCAUGCCCCUGGCUGCCUGAGCAACGGGCUGACGACUGCCUGCUGCUGUUUGUAUCGGGAAUAGAUGUUGUGGGCUUUUUUAGGUGUGUGUGUUGGACUUUAGAUGUGAGGACGGGUUUGGAAAUGGGCAUGCUUUUCGUUUUUCUAGGCUCUCACGUGGUUACUGGCACCAUCCUGAGAAAAAAGAUCGAUGGAGGGGAGACGGAAAGUCCCAUGAGCAGUGCCCGUCGGUAAUUUUUGAUUUCAUUUUUAUUGGCAAUGUGUUUUUAGUGUGAAAUUUUAGUUCAUUUUUAUUUUUUACGAUACCCCAACUCAGUUGCACAUUCGAAUGAAAAAUGUGCAACUAAUAUUAUUUUUGACUUCUCCCUAUAUAACAUACUAAUCCGCGAUGUGUUUUUAGGGUGAUUCUGAGUUUACUUUUUUUUUAUGAAAACCUAGCUUGGUUGCACAUUCUAAUGAAAAGUAUGCAACUAAUUUUAUUUUUUUGGUGUUUCUCUAUAUAUCAGAUGAAAUCUAGCGUAGUUGUACAUUGGGAGAUGUAAGUUAGUAGCCCAGUUGCGCGCUUUGAGUUCUAUUGUGAAACUCUCUUUUUUUUGGCAUGGGGAACAAGAUGUGUUUCUGUGGUGGGGGGACCUUAAUAGGUUACGAAGCUCAGUUGCACAUUCCGACAAACAAUGUGCAACUAAGGCUCUCUUUGUGUAUUUUCCUAUAUGAACUUGGUGCUUUAUUUUUGUUCAAUAUUCUUUUUGACAAAUCAGUAAAGAUCAAAUAAUCUCAAUUCAUGGAUAUUAGGUAGUAGCCUACUUGCACAUUUCAAGUCAAAGUGUGCAACUAGGUUUUUUUCUUUCAACGGGGUGGCGUCGUAAGGCAUGCAAAUAGGGCUGCUACGGGUGCUUAUUGAAUGUGUUUUUAGUGUGAUUUUGAGUUUCACUUUUAUUUUUACGGAACCCACAUUCGAAUGAAAAAUGCGCAACUAAUAUUAUUUUGAUUUUUCCCAGUAUUUGAAAACCCUAUAUGAAAUCAUAUAUUGAGCGUGAUUUAGAACUUAGUUGUUUUAAAACACUAGCUAAGUUGCACAUUCCGACAAACAAUGUGCAACUAAGGCUCUCUUUGUGUUUUUGUCCUGUAUGAACUUGGCAUUUUUAUUUUUGUUCAAUAAUCAUUUUGGCAAGUCGGAAAGGAUCACAUAAUCUCAACCCAUGGAUAUUAGGUAGUAGCUUAGCUGCACAUUUGGAGUCAUAGCAUGCAACUCGGUUUUUUCUCUUUCAACAGGGCAGCAGCGCAAGGCAUGCAAAGAGGGAUGCUGUGGGGCGCUUAUUGGCGAUAUGUUUAGUGUGAUUUCGAGUUCAUUUUAACUUUUAGGAAACCCAACUCAGUUGCCCCUUUGAAUGAAAUACGCGCAACUAAUAUUAUUUUUUGACUUUUCCCUGUAUAUUAUAUGAAACCCUAUAUGAAAUCAUAUAAUUGAGCGUGAUUUAUAGAGCUCAAUUGUUUUACGAAGCACUAGCUAAGUUGCACAUUCCUAUGUGUGUUUUUAUGUAUGAACUUGGCGUUUUUAUAUUUGUUGAACAUUCUUUUUGACAAGUCGGAAUGGAUCACAUAAUCUCAACCCAUGGAUAGUAGGUAGUAGCUCAGUUGCACAUUUCGAGUCAUAGAUUGCAACUCGGUUUUUUCUCUUUCAACAGGGCGGCGGCGCAAGACAUGCAAAGUGGGAUGUUGCGGGCGCUUAUUGGCGAUGUGUUUUUAGUGUGACUUUGAGUUUAUUUUUACUUUUAGGAAAACCAGCUCAGUUGCACAUUCGAAUGAAAAAUGCGCAACUAAUAUUUUUUUUUGGCUUUUCCCUCUAUAUUAUAUGAAACUCUAUAUGAAAUCAUAUAAUUGAGCGUGAUAUUGAACUCAAUUGUUUUACGAAGCACUAGAUAAGUUGCACUUUCCGACAAACAAUGUGCAACUAACGCUCUCUUUGUGUAUUUUCUUGUAUGAACUAGGGGUUUUCAUUUUUGUUCAAUAUUUUUUUUCACAAGUCGGAAAGGAUCACAUAAUCAUUUCAAGUCAUAGCGUGCAACUCGGUUUUUUCUCUUUCAACAUGGUGGCGACGCAAAGCAUGCAAAGAGGGUUGCCGCUGGGCACUUAUUGGCGUUGUGUUUUUCAGUGUUAUUUUGAGUUAAAUCUUUUUUACAAAACCCAGCUCAAUUGCGCAUUAGGAUGAAAAAUGUGCAAGUAAUAUUAUUUUAGGAUGUGUCUUGGUACCUAUGUUUUUUUGGGUGAGUUGCACAUUACCUCUCCAAAUGUGUAAUUAAGUUUUUUGAGAUGUGAAUUGCACAUUAACUCUUUAUAUGUAAUUGAGAUUUUUGUGUGUGGGUUGCACAUAACUGAAACUUAAUAUAAUUUUUUGGGUGAAUUGCACAUCACUUCUCCUAAUGUGCAAUUAAUUGUUUGGGUUAGUUGCACAUUAAAUAUAUUGAUGUGCAAUUGAGGUUGUUAAUGUGUGAUGUGUGUAUGACUGAGAUUUAAACGUAUUUCUUCAUUGCUGAGACUUAAGAGAAAUUUUUUUAAGUGAAUUGCAUAUCAUCUCUCCUAACGUUCAAUUUGUUUUUGUGGGUGAGUUGCACGUUAAGUAUAUUGAUGUGCAAUUGAGUUGUUUUAUGUGUGAUUUGUGCAUGACUGAGAUUUGUAUUUUUUCACGACUGAAACUUGAGAGUAUGUAUUUAUGUGAAUUGCACAUCACCUCUUCUAAUGUGCAAUUUUUUGGAGGGUGAGUUGCACGUUAAGUAUACUGAUAUGAAAGCGAGUUAUUUUAAUUGUGAUUUGUGCAUGAUUGAAAUUUAACUGCAUUUCUUCGCGACCGAGACUUAAGAGUAUUUUCUUAGAUUAAUUGCACAUCAUCUCUCCUAAUGCGCAAUUUAUUUUUUCAUUUUUUUCUUACAUGCUUUUUUUUGGUGUUAAUCACAACGGUUGGUGUGAGUUUACUUCAUCAAAGUCUUUAUCUUCCAAUAAUUCUCUCUAGACGGGACCCAAGUCGCACAUUUGUUUUUUCUUUUUUGCUAGAAUUGCUUGGUCCGUUUUUCUUUUAUGUGUUGUCUUUCAAUCAGAAAAAGAAAAGAAAAAAAAAGCCCACACAAGCAAGCAAAGGCCCAGUCGGAAGGUGGGAUUUGGCUAAUACACACACGCACACCCGAUAUACCAGCCCAAAAAACAGCCCAGCUAGCCACAGACAAAAAGGCCAAACAUGGCAAGCCCAAAUAAGAAAAAGCCUCCUCUAAAAAAAACAAGAAAAAGCCCAAACACUCACCGUACGUGCGCUGAGGAGAUCGUGGGGAUCGAUCCAGAUUUGGGCUACGCAUUGACCGAGAAACUGUUGUUUGUCUGUCGCCUGAGCGAUAGUCGGACCCAUUAUGUUAACCAAGGUGAUCAGUAGCACCUUGCUGAAUUAUUGCCUCCCAUCCACGGUCUUCCGCGGCUUCCAUGGGUUUGUUAGGGUGUGUACAAUGAGAUGAUGUCAGCCUUUUCUUAACGAUGUCACAUAGGAUAAUUGCUGACGUAGAAAAGAGAGGAAUGAAAAAAAAAGGCUUGAGCCUUCUCUUAAUUAAAAGAUGAUCUCUUCACAAGAAUGAUAAGGCAAUUUUCCAUUAUACGAGAUUUCACAUUUUUCUUAACAUUUAUUUAGUUAAUUUAUUCAUCAAAGCAUUAAUUGUAAAAAUGACACUAAGAGAUACCUAUUGUACAACAUGUUUUAUUGUCUUUUUUAAAUGACGUGUAACACAUAAGAAAAGACAGUUUUAUCAACCAUCGUACAUCCCCUUAUACCUAUAUCGUAUCAAGUUACAAUCUGUGAGUUGUCUGCAAGCAUGUCCCAUGGUUUCCUUGAAGAUCAUCUCGGGUACAACAAAACUAUCUGGACACAGUGCAGGCUGAAAAACCUGCAGAUAAGCACAGUAUUGUGACAAGCUGUUGGAGAAGAGUUAGUAUUCAACCAUCUGGUUUGGAUAUAAACAGCUUUUACAAUAUGCCAACAAUUUUUGUUGGGCCUGUCAAGGGCUUAUGGCUUAGAAUUUGCAACCAUCCUGGAAAUCCUGUCCAUAAGCUACGUUUAGGAUUCCAAAUGGCAGCAGCACGCCUUUAUAUAUAGUUAGAAAGGCCGAAAUUUUGCCUCCAUAUUAUUUGAUAUUUCUUAUAAGUCGUCUAAAAUGCAUAAUAGUAGCUGCUUACAAUUCGAUGAAGACAUGUUCAUAUCCGAGGAGUCGGAAAGAAGUUGAAACCAGACAAGACCAACAGCCAUGAAUGAAUCACACACACAGCCAUGAAUAGUGCUGAUCACUUGAUCAGGCAGCGUUGAGGUCAACAGGGUCAAGAAGCUGCUGGCCAUGGUCGGUGUCUGCACCGAGGAAGCCGGCGUGCGACAGCAGAGCCCAGAGGUGUGUCGUCAGCUCUCCCCGCCCUUGGAGGUGUAUCCGAUGCUUGGCCGCUAUUGUGGACGCCGACAGGUGCAGGAGGAACCCUGCCCAAAACUUACCUAGGCUCUCCCACAGGUCCUCCUUGUCGACGGCACCAUAUGUGGACAUGAGCUCCAUCGACAGCUUCGUGCCGAUCUUGAUGAUAGACGGGCCAUUCUGCUCGUCAGGCACCCACGCCGCCGCGACGAGCGUGUUGUGGACCUCCCCCAGCGUGCGGCAACCCCUCAAAUCGUAGUUGGCCCCUUCACGCACAGCGUCGAACACCUUGUCGGCCACAAGCCCGUUAUCCGGCACCAACGCCUCCGUGACCAGGUAGGCACAGUAGUUGGACAGGCUCACCACCGUGGCAUAAUGCGCCUCGAGGCCCCGAAGUAGGGUGGACGGCAGGUUCAGCAUGUACAGGUCGCCUGGGGAUCCGGUGGCUUCCUCUCCCAGCAGCAGCAGCAGCAGCUUGAUCUGGCAGAGGCUGGUGGCAACAUGCCAGACCAGAACCUUGUGGGUGUCGCCGGCCUUGAGUGCGUGGUAGAUAGUGCUGAUUUUGGACUGCAACGAUCUCUUUUCAGCGAAGGCCUUCCAAUGGUGCGACAUGAGUAAUUUGUUUCUCUUUUUCUGAGCCAGAGAUGCAGAUGAUGAAUUGUUCGUCUUCCCAUCUUCCGCCAAAGAAGACGCGGCACUCAAGGCUUGGUUUAGUGACUCAAAUAUCACCUUCUUUAUAUUGCUUCCCAGCUUGACCGACCUGGCAAAGCAACGAUAUAUGUGUUCAUCUUGAAAGAUAAAACUACAAUCUGUUCCAAGCUACAUUUAUCUGUACACUUUGGAUCAAGUUAUGUACUACUCAUUUGGGUGGUGGUAAAUUAAGAAGGGAAAUGUGUUGUUAAUUAGAGUUGUAUAUACCUUGAGCGAAGUCGUCUGUUUGGGGUGGUUUUAACUUGAGCUCCAAUUAGUAGGUUGUACUGUUGGAUCUUCUCAUCCCAUUGUCCCCUCCAGACAAGCCAGAACAUGAUCCUUGCCGCCUUCUCUGUCAUCCAGCGCUGUAGCAUCGGCACCCACCCUGUUGGACGCUGUUUCUGCCGGAUGUAGUUGCAGACGAUCAACACCUUGGUCCACUGUGACAGCACGUAAACGCCAAUCUCCCACAUCUCCCUGCAGACCAUGAUCAAGAUGAUCCAGCGUGUGACCAACACACCAUGGGUGAUCUUGGCGAGGCGGCCGCCGGCAGUGACGGCGGUGGUUUCUCGAGGCAGGUCAUGGACAGCGUAGGCCAGGUACGAGGCUGCCGAGGUCAUGAGCAGCGACAGCAUCAACCUCUGCGUGGGGAAGCCGGCGGCAAAGACGACGGCGUGUUUGCUGUAGGACAAGUCCUGGAGGAAAGAAAGCUCGACCUCCGUGACUCGGAACACCCUCUCGUGGUUGUCAUCGAGGAUAAUUUGGGAUAUGAGCCGCCUCAUGGCCGGGUGGUCGGCCUCCGGGAUGGGGAAGUCAAAGAAGCGGCGGCGGAGAAGCUUGUAGAGUGCGAAGGAGAGGCACACGUCCUUGAACCGUCCGUCGGCAUCCUUGCUGAGCAGCCUGUCGCCGCUGUCAUGGUGGCUCCACACCUUAUCCAGUGUGAUGAGCUCCUCUGGCCUCGUAUUGUCCAGCUGGAACCUAAAGCUAGGCCUCUCGAUCUUCUUCACCUGCUCAUCUUCGCCGAGGACCAAAUACCUGUACCCGACCAUUGUCUUUGGGCAGGCGUCGUGGUCAGCGUGCUGCGACGAUGAUGACGCCAUGUAGUCGCCGACGAGCUUCAUGUUGUCGGUGCUGGCACCCUCUGCGCUGUCAGAUGACACGUAGUACCAGAUGAUGCGCGAGGCAUGGAUGGACCAGAUGAUCCAGAGGGGUACCUUGAGGUACAUGGCCGUCUUGGCCCGGAGCUGGUUGGCCGACCACAGUGAGGUGAGCAGGUCGACGGUGGACAUCUCCUGUGGCUUGUACGGCCGUCCAAUGCUGACGCUAUCCUGCAUGGUGACGAUGAGCACGGCCCAUACCUGGAACAGGUCGUUGGUUGCAGACCCUUGCUCGGAGGUAGACGGCUGCAUGAGCCCCAGGCUGUAGCUCACGGAGUAGUGGCUGAGAAUCCGCAGGAUCUGGACGCCCGGGUUCACGUACUGGGAGGACACCAUGAACCGGGGCCCCAUGGAACCCACGGCGAACUUCACCAGCAACAGCCACGUCGACGCCAUCACCCAAAACUCCACGCUGGCGGCGCGGGUCGUUGGGUCAUGACGGAACAGCUCUCGCACCGUCUCGAGGAUGGAUUGAAGGAACUCGAACAACAUGUUAUUCGCCGGCAUCAUAUAUCUCUUGAUCGGCGAUGACAACGACGACGACGCACUAGCUAACUAGCCUCCUCAAUUAGUGAGAAAGCUAAGUACUCAUCAGUUAGCUAGCUACUGCCUACUAAUAUUGUUCUCCCUGACGUACAGGCAGCGCGCCCCUAGACCUGAUCAGAGCAUCUAGCUAGAGCUCUCUUAGUCAAGAUCCGUACGUUUUUCCAGAUCACGCAAAAUAUAUUAGCCACUUACUCGAAAUACUAUGUUCUUGACAAUAUAAUUGUAAGGAGUGACUAUCCACACACCGUCGUGGUUCUGUUCUUGUAUGCUUUUAGUUAGCCAGUGUUUCUAGAUCUGGAUCAACCAUUUGUUUCUGAAUGAAUAAUAUAUAUGGGGACUUGACUACAGCUUGGCGUUUGUUUAACAAAGGUUUAGCGCAAUCCAAAAGAUUCCCCUGCAUGGAAAGCUUCAGAAAAAGCGCCCCGUGGUUGACAUAAAAUGUGACAUCACACAUUCGUCCAUGAAUUACGUAGCAGAAAGUACGUAGUGGGCAAUCUAAAACACUGAGAUAGUCAAGCAAGUUAAAAAUUCGUGACCAGUAGGGAGACGUGAAUUGCCACAUGACAAGGUUUGUGAAGGACUUGAGAUUUUGGUGUAGUCCGUGUCAUUCUAAACCACACAUUUGGAGCAUCUUCUUUUCCUAUUAUCAUGAGAGUAUUGUUUGACCUUCUGUGUUUCCCUUAGCUUUACUGAAGAACCCUAUGACUUGUACUAUAUGCCAAUUGGCAACUGCAUUUGCAUCUGCACGUGACUAACAUGACUUCCGGGUCUACUCCAUCUGGUCUUGAUAUUUGUUCUGACAUAAAAUAUUCAAGGCAAUACAGGAACAAUGAUCUUUCAAUGUAAUACAUGCAUGUAAGAGGGGAGUUUUUCCCUUCUCUUUUGGUUCUUUUUUAUUUUUGCAGUCUCCAUCUCCUACACGUGCACUCCUAGACUUGUGUUAAAAACAAUGAAUUGGUGAAGAAUCUUGUUUAUAUAUGGAGCAAUAGUAAAAUCCUGGUUCGACAGUGGAAGCAGAUAAAUAAUUUUGAAUCACUUCCACUUCGCCUACUAGCUAGCUAGCUAGUUGCACUAUUUCUCUUUUCUGCUUGCAGGCAUCUCACGUGAACAAGAAGACUGUAAUUAAUUACCUACUCUGAUUUGGAGGCCAUACGCUGGCUGCAGCUCCCCAAGAAGAAGAAGAAGAAACCCUUUCCUCUACGGGAUCAGAGGCAAGAAGGGUUGUUUGGCCUGGGCAGCAUUUCAAUCAGGUAUACACAUGUAUUAGCUAAAUAUGUUGUUCUGCUGUUUGCCGAGCCUUAAAAUUAACUUGAUAUUUGAAAAUGUUCCAUUUCUACAUCUUUUGGUCAGUUCGAAACUUCAGCGAGCUUAAAAAGAUGAAGAUGGUUGACGUCGGCGGAGUGAUUGCAUCCUUAUUCAUCAUGCUGAAAGAGGACAUCUAUGUCCUGAUCCGCAUUGAAAUCCUGGUGACACUGGUGACGGCGAUGUUCCUGGUGAUGUUCAUCAUGGACUUCUACCGGUGCCGGUCUCGUGGCUCCAUCAUCAUCACGGCCUUGAAGACCGUCGAUGGGCUGUCCGAUCAGAUAGUGGUGUAUCUCCUAGGGGUGAUGCAAUCUGCAGAAUUCGAUAACCAUCUCUUUGCGGUCUGGGCCGUGGUGCUGGUGAGCCUCCGUGCGAGCCUCGGCUACCUCUCCGGGUACGGCAUCCCAGACCGCGAGCGGCGGCUCACUGAGGUGGCAAACGUGGCAAAGUUCCUGGCGGUAGGAAUAUUGAAUGGGACACGCCGCUUGGAGUUCACCAAACCACUCUGGUCAUUGUGGGCCAUUCUGCUGCUAAGGAGCCUGUAUAAAUUUUUUGCCGGUCAGAAGGCUAUAUCAUCCUUGUGGCAUGGCCGGAGCUCGGAGUUCCUCCCUGAGUACAUGCGUGCCUUGCCCGACGACAGUGAAGAGAGCAGCACUGACAAUGGUCCUCAAAAGUACCUGAUUUACGGAGAGUACAGACAGAAGAUCGACUUGAAGAGGCCUGGGUAUACUCUGCAUCUUAAAACCAUCGAAGAGAAUUCGCUCAUCACACUGGACAAGGUGACAAAAUGCAAGGAGCAGCUGAUGAGAUCUGACAGCAGAUACAAGGAUAUGACCAUUGCCUUCACACUGUCCAGGCUGCUUCGCUGUAGGCUUGAAGACGUGACGCUGCACAGAGAGAAAGCUCUAACGACACAACACCUAAUCACUUCAGAGAUCACCGUUGGUGGGCUGGACAGCAACGCAGAGAGAGCAUUCAGAAUCCUGGAGCUGGAGCUUGCAUUCGUCCGAGACUACUUCUACACCCUUUACCCGAUGGUCUUCUGGCAAGGUCUUUUUUCUCUUUGUUUCAGCCUCCUCCUUUCCAUGGCGACCUUUUCUGUCGCGUUUUGGCUGGCCCUGGGCAUCCGCGAGGUCUACCAACCCCCUCAAGAAACACUUGUGCUCUGGGUGCGUGGAUGGAACGUGGAUGCUGUCAUCACAUGGGUGUUCUUGUUCUUCAUGAUGUUCAAGGAGGCCUGGGAGAUGGUCACAUACGUGCUAUCAAACUGGACAAGGUUACUCCUUGUGUGCAAGUACGUGCAGAAGAGCUCGCCUGAUGCUCUCAUGGAGAAUCUGACAAAAUCCAUUUUCAAGUCCAAAAUUGCCAACCCAUGGCACGGUUGCAUCGACCAGUAUGACUUCUUGGAGUCAUAUACUUACAAGCCAUCCUUUUGGAAGCUGGCAAAUGCCCUUUCCAUGGGUAAGGUUCCCAAGAAAACUGAUGGAAAAAAGUGUGGCAAAGCUAUCAAGAUCCCUCAAUGUGUAAAGCCAGCAAUCCUAAAUGCGCUCCUCCGCUUAGGCCUCAACAGCCCUCAGCUGCCCAAAGAAAUCCCAUAUCUGACGCAGAGUGGCUCACCAGUCGAUCAGUUCACACGGUACAGCUGGGCCUACCUUGAGCUGCAUACAUGCUCUCAGGUCAUUCUGGUGUGGCACAUAGCGACCAGCCUCUGUGAGAUCAAGCUUGCACAAGAUCAUGGAAUUGAUUUAACCAACCCUGGGUUCCUGCGGUCUGCCUGGUCGUAUCUGUUGUGCCGCUGCACUUCGCAGCCAUACCUUGUUGGCAAGAGCAGCAAUCUGCAUGAAUCACUGGAGACUAAUUACCAUGUCGCGAAAAGCUUGUCACAGUACUGUGCUUAUCUGCAGGUUUUUCAGCCUGGACUGUUGCCAGAUAGUUUUGUUGUGCCCGAGGUGAUCUUUGAGGAAACCGUGGGACAUGCCCGCGAACGACUCACAGAUUGUAACUUGAUACGAUGUAGGUAUAACAAACUCAUGGAAGCCGCAGAAAACUGUGUGGAUGAGAGGCUCAGUAUGAACAUAAUUCAGCAAGGUGCUACUCUAGGCAAGGAUCUCAUCAAAUACGAGGAUGAAGAAAGCCGUUGGAAGAUUCUAGCUGGAGUCUGGGCUGACUUACUUGUGCACAUCGCCCCCAGCUGGAAUGCAGCAGAUCACAAGAAUAGCCUCGAGGCUGGAGGCGAGUUCAUAACCCUCGUGUGGGCAUUGCUUUGGCACUGUGGCAUCGAGAAGAGCAGCUUGUGGGACAAGGGCGAAGCACCUGGAAGAAAUGCUCCAGUACCUCUGGAAAAUAAUAGUACUGGAACCAGCAACAGUCAACCCGAGGAGGGGCAACAAGUAUCUGAAAUCAAUGCUCAAGUGCUUCAGGGAAAUAAUACUGAAACCAGCAGCAUUCAGCCUGUGGAGGAGCAACCCGAUGAGGAUGUUACUGCUGAAACCGACAACAUCCAGCCCGUGGAGGUGCAACCCGAUGAGGAUGUUACAUCGAAUCAAACUCAAAGUGAGACUGAAGAAAUAUCUCCGAGCAACUCCACGAAUUAGCUUCGCCCCCCAUGCUAUGGUAAGUCUUCUACCUGUACAUUCUUUUUACCAUUAACAUGUAGUAGUAUGCUAACGUUAUGAUGAUUCAGAACAAGAAGUGGCCAAUUCGUUGGAAAGACUCCUGGAGCAAGGGAAAGAAGCACCUUGAACAGGUACACUUCAUUGGUUCGAAGUGCAAACAAAGGACUAGCGGUUUGUAAAUUAUACGCAAAUUAAGUAGCCUUGUUUGGCCCUGAAUUUGUUGUCAUCUAGCUGGAUGUUGUUGUUAAUGCUUCUUACUGUUGUCUUUGAUUGCUUGUUCUGUAUUAUCACCCGGCACUGCAGGAUAAGCUUGUAUCAUGAUUUACUUUGCAAUAUUUUCUGCCCUGCUUGCUGCGUCGGAUGGCAGCGGGUUGGAAGUUGAUACUCUUUUCUUCUGUUUUCUCUAUGGCAAACUUUCCUGCAAACUCUUGUUUAUGUUUUUUUUUCCUCCAUGAAAGUGGUCCUAUAUGCCUCUUGCCUAAAAAACUUAGUCCUAUUUAACAACUGUGCUUCCAAUGGGCGCAGACAGUCCCUCAUUUGCAAGUUCACAGCUUGCAGGCCACGGCGUUUUUUGGUCUAAUCCUUAACCAAUCCAGAUUCCUAGUGAAACGCAGUGUUGUGAACUUCGGACCAUGUCUGCAUUUUCUGAAGGUGGUGAGCUUGCAUAGUCCACACAUUAGUUUUUUGCUUUCAGAUUGCAAACAAGUUGGAUUCGGUGUUCUGAGAACCCAACUCUUUCAAGAAAUUUUCAGGUAAGAACUUGUCUCAUCUCUCUACCUCUAUUCUAACCAUUGAUCGAUCGAGGAAGGUAAGACCAUGGUACUAUUUGUUCCAACUAGAAGUGACAGCUCUAUCAAAACCUUCUCUAGGGAACCAGCAAAAUUCAAAAUAAAAGGGUUUUGCUAUCUUUGGUGGAGUAUUACUGUAAACCAUCAACAGUUACCAGCCUGAUCUGAAACAGAUUUAUUUAAAACAGUAAGAUAAUCACCAUUCCAAAAGUUGUUUACUUAAUUAGGGUGGUAAAACACAGUAUACUUUCUGAUGUCCAUCUCCCAUCGGAGUACGCUGAUGAUCUCAACCUGUAAUUUAACAACGACUGACACACUGGCUACAGUGCCCUCUCAAGCUCAUCAAUGCCGGCGCUAGCUAGCAGCAGCACUCUCAUCACUGGUUUUCACUCACAGGCGUUGAAGCUUGAUGCGAUUAGGAUCAGUAGCUGUAGUUCUUGACGAACAUGCCUUCCUUGGCGGCGGCGGCCUCGCCGUCGCUGGUGUACUUCCCCAGCUGCGCCAGGGAGUUUGCCUUGGCGCGCAGCAGCAGUGCCUCCUGCGCCGCCGCCACGUUCUCCGGCCGUCCUCCCCACGUCUUCAGGCACGUGUUCUGCAGCGCCCUCGCGUAUGAGAAGGACACGUGCCACGGGUUCGGCGACUGGUUCAUCGCGUUCAGGUUCAGCGUUGCCUCCACCUCUGACUGCCCGCCCGACAGGAACUGAAUCCACCAAGAACAAGAUAUCAUUCAUGAACAAUGGAUAACUAAGAUGAUCCAUGAUUGUGCAUAUGUAUAUGUAUAGUGAAGGAUUGGUUGCUGACCAUGAUGCCGGGGACGGAAGGAGGGAUCCUCCUCUGGAGGAGCUUGAGGGUGUAGCUGGCGACUUGCUCAGGGGUGGCCCGCUCCUUGCACUCGGCGCCGGGUGUCACCAUGCUGGGCUUGAGGAGGAUGCCCUCGAACAAGACGUUGUUCUGGGCCAUGUAGUAGAAAGUCUCCGCCCACACCUUCUGCGCCACCUCGAAGGUCCUGUCGAUGCCGUGCUCGCCGUCCAGCAGGAUCUCCGGCUCCACAAUCGGCACCAGACCGUUGUCCUGGAACAUCAAGAAACCAGAGGUUUACAUGUUGUUACAAAUUUUUAAAAUGUCAUACCUGACCAUUGUACUGUAAAAUGUUUUGGUCUGUCGGAAAACGGCAAGAAUGAAUACCUGAGAGAUGGCAGCGUAACGGGCAAGACCCCAUGCAGCUUCCUUGACAGCAAGCUCAGAUGGGCCGUUGGGGAUGCUGACGACAGUGCGCCUGCAGGAGAACUUCAUGUCAGGCAUGGAGCUAUGACAUAAUGGAAGGUAAACUGUUCUUGUAGGUACAAGUUUCUCACCACUUGGCGAAGCGGGCGCCUUGCUGGUAGUAGGCUGCCUCACGGGAGGCAAGGCCAUCAAGACCUUGGCACCAUGACUCGUCGUUGGAACCAACGAGUGGCACAAGACCCUGUGAAUGAGCACCGGUUUAGAAGUAUGUUAUGUUUUCUGAACUCGAAAUGAACCCGGGUCAUCUGUUUUAGUUGGAUUUAAAAGUAAAUAUGGUUAUUCUGAUGCAUCCUUAGUAGUAGUAGCGGUCUCUAUCUUUAAUUUGCAUGCUUGUUCUGUUUUACAAGUAUGCCGGCUAUACUUACUUUAGUUCUUAUGCAGCUAUUGGUACAAAAUAAUUUGGAUAUACCUCAUGUUUACACUUCCAUUUGACUAGAGUGAAUUUUCAUGCCGAUGCUGGUGACAGUGAUUUUCUUUCGAAAUUAUCACAACAAUUCCAAAUAUAGGAUUAGUUCUGAUAAAGAACAACAAAAUCAAGUGUCAUUUUGGGGUGAAAUCAGUUGACUGCAUACCUUGUCAACCUUGAUGCCGGGAACGAUUCCCUGCUCGACAAGGAUGUCAACAAUCUUCUUGCCAUCAACAGUCGAUUGGUAGAGGGUCUCCUCGAAGAGGAUAGCACCAGAGAUGUAAUUUCCCAGGCCUGGUGGAGUGACAAGGAGGGUACGGUAAGCCUGGCGGUUAGCCUCAGUGUUCUCAAGGCCAAUCGAGUCAAGUCUCUUUCCACAGGUAGCAUUGGACUCAUCCAUGGCUAGGAUGCCCCUUCCUGGUGAUGCGAUGGUAUUCUGUAGCAGGAAAAAUAAAACUUGAGAGAUCUUCUAAACCAUAAUAGAAAUUUUACUUUUGUAAAGUUGAUUUAUGCUAGUAAGGAUUCAAAGUUCAUAAGUGACCAGUUGUGAUUUGUUAUGACUUACGAACCUUCAGAUCGGUCACUGAGCUUAAGCAGGAGAAUACAUGGAGUUAAAUAAAGAUGCAUCCUGUCUAAUCAUUACAGCUAGUGGUGGGUAACCUGUGUCAUGUAUUAAUGCAGAUCCCUAAUUUAGAACAUAUUACCUAUAUGUUUUAAGUUUCACAAGCCCUUUUUGGUACAACACAGCAGCAAGUAGCAACCAUAUCUCUUUAGCUUGCAGUGAUAAAGAAGAUAGAGAAUUUUACUGUACUGAUGCAGUAUAGACUAGCAUACGUUUGAAAAUGGAGAUUUGGACUAGUGAUUUGGUACAUUUGAAUCGUGAUGGAACCAAAACAGCCAAACAAUUUGCCUUUGCUGAUAUUCUCUUAUAUCUAUCUUGACAACAUAUCUAAUUCCCAUUUCACAGUGCUACCCAUCCAGACUAGACACAUAUGCAUGGAAUUUUUUGGCAGAAUUGCAAGCAAGCAUACCGCGGUCUUGACAAGUUCAUCAGCGUAUGCGCUGGCACGGACAACCAUGGAGACGGUCAUCUGCUUGGGAGUGGCAGCCUGGCGGGUGGCGCCCCAUUCGGACUUCUUGGGAAGGAAAGACGAUUUGAGGAUAGUAGCCGAGGCCAUUGUUUCUGGCUCCAAAGGCAAGAGGAUCAGGUGCUACCCUCUUCUUUGACACAAGCUUGCAAUUGCAGCCUUUCCUUAGGGGGGGUGAGAAGUGAAGCGCCUGCUCAGAUUUAAGGGUGAGUACCUGAGUACAAAGGAUAUGAGUUGUGAGGUGGAGGCUGGCCUUCUGGAUAUGAAUGGCUGUGAUUUGGUUGCUCCAAUCCUCUUGCCACCUUCUGUUUUUGUCCUGGCUCUGCCACAUGCUUGUCUCUAUGAUUUCCUUAGCUUCUCUGUGUACCAUGUAAAAUCUGCAAUACUGGAAUUUUAUCGUUUGCGCUGCACCGUCCAUAAAUAUUAUCUGGACAUUCUUGACCUUAAGGAUGGUCUUGGCUGAUGAACAAUUCUGGGUUUCUGUGGGCGCAUUUCGCCGAGGAGUAGUGCCCAUGAGCAUCUUUCGACGGUUGAGAUGCCCUGAUGUAUUACAUCCAUGAAUUUUGCCAGUAACCAUCAAUUACGUGGAAUACACAGUUUUUUCUGUCAUUGGUUUGGUGAUAACCAUUCCAGCUGUGAGUUGUUUGUAGGGUGCAGGGUGGCUUGUGUGGCAGACACCAUUCUUCUUGUGCCCCAGUGCCUGGCAGCAGAAGGCAUAUCCACCACAACUCCCUGCCAAGGAUGACAUUAAGAGGAUACCAACCAUGUAGCAAUCUUGCAUAUCAUUCCUGGACCUUUGCGACUCCUGAUACAUGAUGAUUUAAAAUUAAGAAAAAAAUCUCUGUUUCUACCCUUACUAAAUAUUAGAAAUUACAAAAUUUUAUAGAAUUUAAUUUCACAAUGCAUUUAGUGGGAACUAGUAGAAAGUAUCACACACUGGCUAUGGAUUAUUUUUAGAGAAACAUGGAUAUGAACAUGCAUUUUUUUUUCAGAGUGAAGAUCUUUCAAAAUAUUAACAUCAGAAAAGAAAUUAGGCACCCUUGUCACUAAUCACCAAAAACAUUAACAUCACAGAGCAAGUUGGUAUAUGGAACCUACUGCCCUCAAUGAAAAAGGACACAGAGUACCAUGAAAGGGAUUUUACUACUAUUGAAUAACAAAAGCUGAUAGUUACAAAUUGUUCACAAGUACACAAGGUUGGCCUACUUAAAUCAGAUGAUCUCCUAUAACUCGGGAGAAAUACAUCCAAGACUCCCUGCUGUGGUGUAUGUGCCUUUUUCUGUAAAGAGUAUGAGCAUGCCUGAACAAAAAAGUGAAAAACAUCCACUAUCACAAGCUUCAUAUGCACCAGACCUUAACUCUGAUCACCAUCGUUUAAUGCAUCUACUGUGCAGCUGUAUCAUUUCUUUCAUCAGUUCAGGCAGAAGAUAGGUUUGCACAGACAAUUAUUUCCUUUGCUGCCAGCACAUAAAUUCAUCACAUCUGAAGCUAACUUGUAAUGAAGCACAGGAAGCACAGUCUAUCCUUCAGUUUAAUGCAUUCUAUCCUCCGUAACAAACAAAAGAUACCAUGUGUUGGGCUGCAUAUCAAUCGAAGGUACCAUAAGUUCAGUUGUUUCAACCAGCAGAAAUUGAAAAUCAAGCAUCAUGCGUGAUCUCCAUUUACUCUGGCAUUAUGUAUUUGGUUGAACACAAAUGAAGUUAACUUCUGAUUUAAUCUGACUGUCAGGGCAGCCUCUGAUGGGAGUGUUUCUCCAUACAUACCGGGUGGACCGUGGCUGGUGAGGUCCAGGUUUGUAGCUCCAGAAGGCAAGCAGGGGCCAAGUUCCUUUCUCUUGCUUGUUCAAAAGAUGUGUUCAUCAAUCUCCACUCCUUGUGAAUUGUGAUACUCGUAAAGCCUUGCGAUUCCUCUGCUUAUUCUUUCCUUUCCAGGAACAUACAAAAGUACAAAUUGCUGGGAAACUAGUGCUGGCUGUAGUUCAUUCUGGACAUAGAAGGUUGUGACAUCUAGUUUGAGCAAACUCUCUUCAACUCUGCUGCUUUAGAAACCUCAUUAAUCUGUUUACCACAAGCUUCUUCAGCUGCUCCAGGACUGCUACUAGAUAAAAAAGCCACAAGCUUCUGCCUCAGCAAUGGCGAUAGCUUCUCGCAGCACAUCAACACGUCCAAUGAAGGAACCACUCCUUUCUUCACCAGCACUGUAAAUGCGCACCUCACGCACUGUGCAAUGGCCUCCUUCCUCCGAACCUCAUAGUUAUCGAUCAGAAGAAACAAGAACUCAAGCAGCAUGUUUGUGAUAUCUACAUACUGAGAUACCGAGUUCACCAUCAGGAGCAUUGCAGGCUCGAUGUUCAUGACAUUACCCUUAACCUCAUCGAAAAACAACCAGUCAUAGAACAGUGCCAACUUCACAUUGGCCGCGACGUAGCCCUUGCUGCAGCUCGUGAGCAACCAGCCGAUGAUUGCCCAGCGGGCAAUGACGCCUGACUGUAUGACCUCGUUCGUCGGGUGGUACCCGCAGCAUAUGAACCGGACAAUGUCCGGUACCCUCUCCUCCCCUCCAGGCACCAUCAAGUGCUUCCUCGCAAACCAAAGCUGGUACCUCUUCUGACUCCCCCACUUCACAUUCUUCAUAAGGAACAGCAGUUGUAUCUCCAUCUCCGGCGAGAUCGCCAAUGCUGUGCACCAACCGGGCGUGCUGACCCAGCCAAUGUCCACGGCGGCACGCUCCGACAUCAGGUCUUUCCACAGUCCCUGGAACUCCGGCACGAGCACCAGUUCAUGGAGUGACAGCACGAGGUCCCUCCCGAUCAGCGAGCAUGGUUGGAAGUGAUCCCGGAGCACAGAGACGCAGAAGGACACCAGCUUCUCCCUGCAUUCUUCGAGGUUCUUCACGUGCUUGCAUUCCUCACAGUUGUUGACGCACUCGGCGCGAGGAGAGGGGAGGACCGGAUCGAGGCGGUUCCGGGCGAGGAGGCGGAGGAAGGCGAAGACGGCGGAGGCGAGGAGCUGGGGCUCCUCGGCGGCGAGAAAGGGGGAAUUGUCACGGAUGAUAUCGAGGAGGCGGGCGUCGCCAUGGAAGGGCACGCGGCGGAGGAGGGAGAGGAGGAGGGGCGCGAACCCCGGCGCGGCGGCGCGGGCGAGCUCGGCGGCCGCGAGGAGGAGGCGGGCGCGGGGGUGGGGGAGGAGGAGCGGGAAGGGGAGCGAGAGGAGCGCGGAGGCGAAGGCGGAGUAGAAGGCCGGGAAGCGGGCGCCGGCGGCGUGGAGGAGCACGAGGAGGCGGCGCGGGAGAGGGGAGGAUGGGUCGGUGAGGAAGGAGAAGGCUAGGGCGUGCGGGAGAUGCGGGGAGGAGAGGUCGGAUGCGGACGGGGUGGGGAGGAGGAGGUGCGCGGCGAGGAGCGGGUGCUCCGGGGAGGACGGGGUCGUCGGGGACGGAUGGUGCUCGCCGCCGGCCAGCAGUCGCGGCGGCGCCAUUGGAGAUGCAGCAGAUUUUGGGCUUGUAUUUAGGGGUAUAGAGGGGAUUUUGGAUAGGUCAUCCACAUAUAAAACGGCCCACACACAAGACCCUUUUGCCCAAAAAAAGUACUUUUUGCUCUAAAAAAAAGUACUCCUCUAAAAAAAGUACUUUUGCUUGUAUUUGAGUAGUAACAAAAUUAAAUGAGAAUCCACCUUUAAAGAAACAAAUCCUGUCAAAAAAAAUUGAAUCAUAAUUUUUACAUUAAGAAAGAAGCAGAAUUUUCUUCUAAAUCGAUAUUUUUAAACGGUUCAGUUUUAUCUUUUUAUGAAAAAUAUAAAUAUUUACAGCGUAUUAACACAUGGCAAAAUUAACACCUAAUAAAGUUCAGUAAAUAAUCGUUUUUAUUUAGGUGUUAUUUUGCGAACUGAAUGAAAAGAACAUAAUGCUAGAACAUGAUAGUAGAAUGUAUGCACUAGCAAAAAAAAAUGCAAUGCAUCCAUCCUACUGACAGCUGAUAAGAAUUCAACAUGUUGCUUCCUGUUUAUAAGGAAUUUCAAACCUGUAACCCACACAGAGAAGCAGGAUCUGAACAAAUUGGAACUACAUUGGCAUUUAAGGCUUUAGCAUGAACCUACUGCACUUGUACUUUGACAGGGAACAGAAACAUUGAUACUAAUCCCCAGCUACCACCAACCAUGUUCAACAACCUACAAUGACAGGAAUACAUAUAACAGUUGGUUCAAUGUUCAUCGCAUUAUAACCUCCACUCCAGCAUCUAAGAUUUGGUUACAAGGUAGACAGUGCGCCAUUUCUCCCCCACUCUAGCUACUGCCACGAAAAUCCAUCUCUCGGAUUAGUCCAGUUGAUGAGGCACGCAAAAACUUCCAGAAAAUGGCAUCCACCGGGCCUGGCAUUUCCUUCCUGUGACGACGAGUUAGUUGUUGCUGGGAUUCAAGAUGUCGCCGAGAUUCAGAUGCAAGCUGUUCCUCAUGGUACGCCUCCCUGUGGCGCCGGCAUUGCCCUUCCUCAUCAUCGCCGUGAACUCGCUGUAAUCGAUUUGCCCAUCCUGGAAACAACAGCAGAGGGGUUAAUUGCUGAUCGGACAAGUCAGGAAUUGAACAAAAACAAGUGCAUGGAGAUGGGAUGGAGUAGAUUCAAGUAUCAAGAAGACUGACAUUGUUCUGAUCGACAUCUUUGAUCAUAUCCUCAAGGUGGACGUCAUCCAGACCGAAUUCAUGGCAUGCUUGUGAUAGCUCGUCGAUGGUUAUGAAGCCACUUCCAUCCUUGUCGAAAAAUGAGAAUGCUGAUACCAAGUUCUCCUCCCUCUCCAGUUUGUUCAUGUGCAAUGUAGCUGCGAGGAAUUCACCAUAAUCGAUAGUACCACUGUUGUCGAUAUCCGCCUUAAACAAAUACACAGGUACCAUUAAAAACCAUAAAAUCCACAAGUUGUGGUAAUUAGAGUGAAGGAAUCAUUUAUUCAGCUGGUAAAGAAGCACCUACUGCAUCCAUUAAAGCCUGGAUUUCAUGUUCGGUCAAUUCUGAGCCCACUCUUUUCAAGCCAUCUUUCAGCUCAUCAAAUGUUAUGGUCCCACUAUUGUCAGUAUCAAUCAUUUUGAACAGCUCCUUUAGGCCUCCAAUCUCUUCCUCAGACAGACUUUCAGCAAUAACCUGUAAGAAAAAUGUCUACAGUAUGUGAAAAAGCUCAAGACGACACUGCAAGUUGCGUAUUACGUAUCAACUAUUUGAGCAAUUCUGAAAUCUUCGUCAUGCAUCACUGGUCCAAUACUGCAUAUGAACUAGUUUUUUGUAGCCCAAGCUAAUGAAAAAAAAAGGAUGGGAAACUCGGAAAAAACUGCAAUAACUCCUAUCGUAUGACAGUGUGCUGCUAUGGUAAUAUGGAUCUGAACAAAAUAGUUCUAGAAAGACCGGAAACCAUCUAGGACAAACGAAGUUGAUGGACACUGUACCCCAAUAGAGGAAAGAAAGCAGGCACAUCAAGAGGAUUGAUCCUUCCUUCACUAAAUGUGUAUGGUACAGCAUAAAAAUAACAUUGAGUGGUAUACUCUGUACUCCAAAGAUGCCUGAUCUUAAUUACUAGAACUAAAAAUGGAGUUCCAGCACAAAGAAUGGAGGAGACCUGCAUAGUUAGUUGGCUUGGGUAUAUGAAGCCAUGCUAACAAUGAUGGAAACACAGGUAUUAACUUAGGUUACUUAGCAGCGACUAUAUGGUAACCUAAAUGUGCAGAAUCAGCUACUGCAUUUAAAAAGGGAUAAGUAAAUCUUCAUACCCUCAAUGCCAUCUUCUUGAGCUUGUUCAUUGCAGAAAAAUGCUUCAGCCGUGACAAAACAGCAGAAUCAAUAGGCUUAUCAGGCGCCACAGCAUCAUCAACAAUCCAUGGGUGACCUAACAAAGGGCAGAGGCAAUGCCAGUAUGAGAAGAAAAAAAAUUCAAAAUAUAUCUGUCUGAAACACCUAUACUCAGUCGCUUGAAAGAGUCGUAAGGAAGAGUAGACUUACAGAGAACCUCGUGAGCAGUGAGUCGCUUUGUAGGAUCCCGACAAAGCAUAUUACGGACUAGAUCUUUAGCACUGUCGGAGAUAGUAGGCCAGGGUUCAGAUUCAAAGUCAAGUUUGCCUCGAAGGAUCUGCCUGAAGAUUCCUGCUUCAGUUUCUGAGAAGAAAACAGACAUGACAUUGGAGAACAUGAGAACAUGAGAAUAUGAAGCCCUUCAGUUUGAUGAUUUAAGGGCACAUAGUUUACCUGCCCAAAAUGGGGGAACACCACAUAGCAAAAUGUACAGAAUCACCCCAGCGCUCCAGACAUCAGCUUCUGGCCCAUAGCAUUUCUGAAGCACCUCAGGCGCAACAUAGUAGGGGCUCCCAACAACAUCAGAGAAUUUAUCACCUAAGGAAAUGGAAACACACAUUUCAACAAACUUAGUGUGAGUCAAAGAGAAGCUUUUAGCAAAACGUAAGAGUCAGAACAUACAAAGUAGCAUAAGAGUCCCAGAUGAAAAUAUCAAAUCAAGACUGUAGACUAGAAGAAUAACAACUAGAUUGAUGAUACUGGUAGUAAUGGAUACUACCACGCAUCUUUCAAUAUCUUCCUAACAUGCAGAUGAUCUUAACUUGCUUCCCAGGUUCGAACUAGACUUGGCAGGCCAUAUGAACACACUUCACUUCCCACCCAUGAGAAGAUUACAGAUACUAGAAAUGUCAGGAUCAUCGCAGGAUUAUAUGGUUACUUCCUAAUCAGUAUCUUGCGACCAUCAUCGUAUCCAAAGAAGACUAGUUUUGACAUGCCUUGAAGGUUGCAAGCGGAUAAACCACACGAUGAGAGAAGCACCACCCUUAGCAUUCACUGAUACUAGGAACUGUUCUGAAUUGUGGCAUUGCUUUGGUCAACAACUACAAUAGCUCACAGUGAUUAUCAGUUCAAGAGGAUUCCACUAUCAAAGACAUGCCACAUCAUGACAAGCAUUCUUACUCUAGCAAAAAGAACAAUGUAUGCAAAACAUUAUUGCCAGUUUAAUCAACUUGAUCAUGAAUGUUACCAACAAAGAUCCAUAUGGCCAUUCUAAUGUAUUCCAAUAGAACACAGAGUACUACACAUAAGAGGGCAUCUUCACAUCAAGAACUGCCAAUAUGCACAAUAAAAAAGCACUAACUGCAAAAUUAAGCAAUAUGAAGCAAGGAAACAUAGCACAUACCAGGCUUGUAGAACAUGGAGAGCCCAAAAUCGGUGGUCUUGAGCGGCGCGUCCUCAGCGGUGCUGGCGAACAGGAAGUUCUCCGGCUUGAGGUCCCGGUGCAUGACGCCGAGCGAGUGGCAUCCCUCCACGACCCCGACGAUUGUCCUGAUGAGCUGUGCGGCGGCGCGCUCGCUGUAGUGCCCCUUGGCCACGAUGCGGUCGAAGAGCUCGCCGCCGGCACAGAGCUCCAUGACAAUGUGCACGAAGAGGGCGUCCUCGUAGGCGCCGCGGAUGCGGACGACGUUGGGGUGCUCGGAGAGGUGGUGCAUGAUCUGGAUCUCGCGCCAGGCGUCCUCGUAGUCCUCGCGGCACAGCAGCUUGCGCUUGGGGAUGGACUUGCAGGCGAAGUCGCCCCCGCCCUCCUUGGCCACGCACUGGUACGUGGUGCCGAACUGCCCCUGCCCCAGCUUCUUCCCGAUGCGGUAGUGGUCGCGUACGUUGGCCGUCUUGUGCGGCAGCACCGACGCCGGCCUCCCGGACGACGCCGCCGGCGCGGCGGUCACCGGCGGCGGCAGCGUCGGCCUCGCAGCAUUCGCGCCGCCGCCGCCGGUAGCGUUGCUGCUCGCGUCCGUCUGCAUUGGCGACUCCCCCGGCGCUGACCCUGGAUCAAGAAACGAAGCGAAGUCAGGAAAAUCAGGGGAAAGGCGGCGGCAGGAUGCGAUUCAAGAAGAACCGGUCAAAAAGGGGAAGCUCAUUCACCUCCGAUGGGGGAUUCCGGCGCUUUUCCCCAGGUAUUUCCUACGGAUUACGGCAGAACAACACAGAAAGCUCCCUGGAUCUAGCAACGGGGCUCCGGGAGAUUCUUGGGGGGUUUUCCAACCCAAUCGACGAGAUUAAGAACCAGCCAGGAAGACAAAAGUAGCUUUGCUACGGGAGGUUUAAGACCAAAAAAGCCUGGAGCAAACAAGAUAAGGGAGAAGAAAUCUCGCUCUCACUUUCUCAGGUGUCAAUCAAAUGGGUGGGGGAAGAACAAGAAGAUGCAAUCUCGCAGAAAAGGAAACCACUGUCGAGCUACAACUGCGAGUUGAAGGGAGCAAGUCAGGUCGCACAAAAGGACAGGAUCUUGGUGGUGGUGGCGCUGCUGCUGGUGAUGGCUCCGUCCAAUUCUUUAUAGGAGUUCCUUUUGCGGGGAUGGGAUAUGGAUGACGAAGAUGGUAAUCGCUUUGGUUUCUUGGGGCUGGGAAAUGGUAAAAAGGGGCUGGCUGUGGGUUGGUGAAGAAGGGAGGAAGGGGAUUUGCUGGGAUGGUUAGGUCUAAGGCUUUUCUUUCUCCAUUGGCAAGAAGAGGAAGGAAGGAGGCAGGAAAGGAGGAGGCGGCCACGACGCUGGUCGUCGGAACCUCUCUUCACUGUCUUUCCUUUUUUAUUGUUUCCUUUUGUUUUCUAGAAAAUCUUAUAAGAUCUGCCUAUUUAUUAUUUUUGAACACAUUAAUACCUACUCGUUUAUCAUUGGAAUCGAUUAAAAUAAAAUAAAAAAUAUGUACUUUCAUCAGCAAAUUAAUUUUAUUAAAUACUCACUCCUUCUUAUACUAAGUGACUCAAAUUUUUCUAAAUAUAGACGUAUAUAUACACUAAAAUACGUCUAGAUACAUCUAAUAUCUCGUCACUUGAUAUGGGACGGAAGGAGUAUGUCUUUUUGGUGGGAAAAUUGUAGUAAAUUCAGUAUAAUAUAGUUCAGCGAAAGCAAGCUAAACCCUUAGCAAUGUACUUCCUAAUUCCAAAAUAAAGACUUCACUUAAACCUUGCAAUGGUCAGCAAUAAUUUUUGCGAAAACUGAAAAACCUACAUGUUUCAAACUUGUUGUUGGGGAGGUUAUGACCAUCCUAAACUGAAUGCGAUAUUCUUUUUUAGAAGUUUCAUGGUAAGUACUAAAAAAAGUAUUUAAAAAAAAUGAGGCAAUUGGAUACUGAAUGUUUGUUUACUCCAUCAACUAAAAAUUUGUAUAAAAUGCAUUCUAAAAUUUACUUUCGGUUUCAAUUUACUCCAAUGACGUGCUUUGUACAAUUUUCCACCGUCGUGGCUGCCACACUAGCGAAAGAAGCACAUACAACAUGAGGAACCGAAGUGGCCGGGCAUCAUGUAAUUUUUGUAUUUAGGACCAGACAUUUUGCAAUCUUCACAGCUACGCCUCUCUCAUUUUCUUUAUCUUUCGACACAAGACGACUAAGAAAGUGGUGAACCGUGAGGGGGCAAGCAAGGUACCGGACACGCAUGACUAUCAGCCCGACAUAGAUGGAAUCUUGACAUCGAUGACCUAGCGAUCUUAGCCCAACCAUCAUCAAUCCUCCUCCACUUCUCCUUUCGGUCGACCAUAGUCUGCUUCCAUUUGUCCCCUAGUCAUUACACGUUCAAGGAGCAGACAAGAACAAGACGGCCGCAAGCAUCGUCUACUAUUUGCAUGUCGCCGCCUUCUUUCUGUAUGAUUAUCCAUGCUGAAUUGAAAGAUGGUUUGGGGAGAAAAGGGGAAUUUUCGAAAACUAGAGAUCUGACAAGGGUUUUAGAGCAAAUUUGAGACAUAUUGAGUGAUCUUUUGCAAAAUAAGCUAGCAUGGAAGAAAUUUACUUUCUCGCCGUGCAUGCGUCAUUCGUCGGCAUGGCACACCAUGGUGGCAAAAACUGUCCGAGAUACAUAGCUUUGGAUUAAGGUGAAUCUAAAAGCUAAUUCUAGGGUGCACUUUUCUACCGUGUUCAAGUUGAUGGAAAGGUGAACUUGCCAAAUUCAUGUAUCCACCAUGCAGUUACCUAUUUCCUAAAUGACCUGCCUUUUUCAGUGACAUUUAGUGAAAAAUUCAAGAGAAAAAAACAGAGAUUGGAUGCACAAGUUUGGGUUCAGAGACAGGGCUCACGGGAAUUUAUUUGUGCACAAGGCUAUGACGACAGGGACAGCAGUGAGAAUCCCUGAACAAUAAAAUACUAAAAUCCAAGGGUUUGACAUGGGGUUCAUCAAGCUCAUGCCUUUGUUUUCUAUGGAUUAGUACCUCAUUGCCCUUGUUUAUUCCUGCCAUUCCUCUGCAUCUUGACCUUUUCCUUUUUGCACAUUCAGAGGUACACGCAUCUUCCUUGGCAUUUGCUAUUGCCUUCCUGGUUCCCUCUUCUACACAUUUUAUUAAUUAUUAUUAAUCAGUGGUUACAACUUGUGAUCAUCUGGAGAUUUGUAUAAUGGAGCAUACAUGUCAAUUUUAUUUCCUUUGAGUUAGAUGGAUAGGUGAUGGUCCAUUGCCUCCAUGGUGUAGCCGUGGUAUUUGUUUUUUUCCAGUGGUGGCCCCUCUAAAUAACUCUCAGUUGGUACUAUAGACUGUAGCACUAAUGAAGACAAUUAAGCACGAAAUUUUCUGCGCCAACAAGGACCUACUACUAGGCAUGAAGAUAACACUAUCCAAAUUCUAUCCUAAAAAAAUCCCAAACAGAAGUCACUAAACAGGACAGGAACAACAUCUCAUAUUUUUAAUCAGCAACCAAUCGUGCAACACCUAUGCUUCUACUUUGCACAAACCCCACAUGCAGUUGCCAACUUUCCAUGUCAUGAAUCCUGGUGAUACUUGAUGAGAUCCAGAGAAAGGCUUGGGUGGCUUCUUCAAGGAUCCCAUCUGUCUUUCUUUUUUUUUGCGGAUAUCCCAUCUGUCUUUCCCAUAAAAUAAAUAAAUCACUUUCCUGUUGAAAGGAAGGAAAACUCAUGAUAGCUCCCAAAGAGUAGAUUCAGGAUUGGAUCAUGGGGCACACAAAAUGGGGGUGCUGAUGCUGUGCCAUUUGCAGGACAGAGGACAAUGAGAAGCAUGGGGGUGGUGGUGAGGCAUCUCCAUCCAUCAAUCACUGUCAAUUCUGUGAGCAUCUACCAAACCUUUCAAGGAUAAGAAUUUGUACUACACAUAUGCUCAUUAAUUAAUGUUGUUGUUUUUUAAGAAGCUUUUCUUCUUCACAAAAACCGGAGAUGUUAUGGAAUAUGGAUUUUUGGUUCAUUAAGACCUUGAGAGGCUGCAGGUAUGUGAUGUAUCAUGUAUAUAUAGCCAUCUAUCAGAUUUUAUCUGUGAAUACAAAGCGUACAUUUGAUAGUUUUGCAUACAUAAUCUAUCUGAAAAAUAUGUUUUAAAAGGAAAUAGCCGCUUUGAUACUUUAACUUUGGACGAUGUAUAUGUAUAUAAACAGUCAUUUCAUAAUCCUUGAACCUUACUCUUGUCUCUUGGUCAAACAGUUGUACGUGUGGAGAGAAAACUUUGAAGUCAAGGGGAGACUAGAAAAAGUUCCAAAGCUUACUCAUUCUGCUCUUGAAUUUAUUUCAGUCGUGUCUUUUCAGUUCUUGGUCAACAGUCAAACCGUGUGGAUGCUGCACCAAGAUAUUUUCCAUCAGUGGACAGAACCUUGAUUGAUGGCGUUCUGUAAUUUGUGAUAAAAUGAUAGUAGCUUCACCGGUUUCAGAAGUGCCGCAUGGAGAUUUACCGUGUGUUAAAAGUUAAUACCUCGUUUCAUAAUUUUUGUCUCAAAUUUGCUCAAAAGUGGAUGUAUCUAUUUCUAAAAAAUGUCUAGAUGAAUGUAAUAUUUCGACAAGAAUUAUGAAACGGAGGAAGUAUCAGUUACACUACACACAAAUAAAUUACGUUUAGUAAUAAGAUGAUGUAACGAGAUGGAAAGUCACCUUGUCAAACAACUUCUGUCAUUUAAAAACAAUAAAAUACAGUAAUAAAAAAUGAUGCACUAUCAAGCAUAAGUUUUCUUUUUUUUUUUGCAAGAAUGCACGAAGCAUAAUAAGUUGCAUGCACACUAACAAAAUUCAAAUGGAAUAGGUGCAUUGAUUUGAUUAGAGGGAAUGGCCCAAGAAUUUCUUUAUCGGUUUUGCUAUUUCUCAUGCGACCGAGAAAUGAUUAUUUCUUAGCCGAUGAUAACAACUUUUGAUUCAAUCAUUGAGAUUCGUUUAAAAUUAAUGUGGAUCCGAUAGAUAAGAAAAUUUUCAUUAGAUGGCUACAAUUGUCGACUGAAAAAUAACUAUUUCUUAGGCAACUGUGAAAUAGACACUUCCUUUCUUUAUUGGCAUCUGCUAAAAUGAACCGUGAUGUCCAUAACUAAUUUAACAAGUUGAUAUGCAAACCAUGGCUUAUUUCUUUUAUGGCAAAAAUGAGACUAUAAUCUAACCACUAAAAUACCAAAAUAAGAACACUACAAAGUACUAGUAGUACUUACCUGAAGCAUAAAUAGGCGUCCACAACAAAGUCCUGCACAAGAGAUCCGACGAGGACUUUUGAAUUUGAGUCAAGAACAAUACCGCGGCGCGCAGAGCUAUUAUUCCUUUGUGCACAUGGCACCACGGUUUGUUGGGCAGAGAAAUAUCUACAACUAUUAUCUGUAUGUAUGUGUAUAAUAAAUACCUGGUAUAAAAAUCUGCAGAAGGAAAUUGGGAGCCAGCUUUUGUGGUCAAAGAUGGCGACCAAGCAGCAGAGGAAGCAUGGAGCAAAGCGGGAUCCAAGGGGAAUUGGUCGGUAGGUUCCUUGGUUGGUCUGCUGCAUCAUGCACGCACGUUCAUGGCACACGUUGACACGUACGAUUGACGACCCAUUCAACAGGCGAUGCUAAUUUGAAAGAACAUCAAAAUGAUAAUUUUCUUUUCUUUACCAUAAUUUACUGAUGAAAAAAAACCCGUCAAGGUUAACCGCAAAAUGCUGGCAACGUUUGGGAGUACUACUUGCUAGCCAGGUCGGUCAGUGUUUGUCCUGUGUGCGGUCAUGCUCCAUGACGGCAUUCUUUGAGACAUGUUGUAUCGGUUUUUGUCUGGUUUUCUGUAAAUUAACUGGACAAUUCUCUUCUUCUUAAUUAGUGGAUUGAGAUCCAAAUAAUUUACUGAUGGAAGAAAGAGGAAGGGGAGGAGUUAUUUUUUUUAAGUGACUAGAACUUCUAUCAACUACUAGCUAAACGUCAAUGCUCACAUUUUUUAAAAACUUCUGAUAAAUAAGAAUUAUGUCAAAAUAUUAUUUUUGAAUUUUUUUUAUCUUGAAAGUCGUUUGCAACCAUUAAGUGGUUGUCUUGUUGGAACGAACUCACCACCAUCAACUAUGCCAUGCCGCGUGAACGAAAUGCGGAUCUAGAAAAUGCAAUUCGGCGUGAAUGAACGAAUUGUUUAAAUAAGAAUUAUUAAAUUAUUGUCAGUUUAGAUGUUUUCUUCAGUUAAAGAGAGCAUUUUUGUUGGGAUUGACACAUUUAUCAGGUAAUAUGCUGAUUGCUGACCAACCAUUUCAUGUUUCUGCUGGUCAUGUAAUCACUAAUCAUCCUAGCUAGUGCCAGUCAAGUAAUAACGCCACAGGGGUAAAGCUGAGACCAAUAAUAAUCCAGAGAUUUUUCUGAGUGUUGCACAUUACCAGACACGUAAAAACAGUCUCCACAGGGUACGCACCGUCUCCACGUUUAGCUGUUGCUCGAUUUGGUGCUAGUUACAUCAAGUCGAUGGGGACAGAAUACAGAGGACGAUCGAUCGAUCGUUGAACAUGCAGAUGCUUAACUAUGCAUGACCAAUGCCAAACGAAGCACGAGACUGUAGAAAGUAGCUAGACCCGUGUCCAUCCAUUCAUUGACAAGCAAGGUCCAGACAGUCGCUCGCACGUUCAGCCGUCAUAGUGCUCAAGGCUGCGAUCACCAGGAGGUCAGCAGUACGCCGGGGCUAGGAAUGGAGUCUUCUUCUUCCCCGCGACGGAGGCGGUGUGCGGGCAGAGGGAGGAGCUGUUGUGCAGCAGGGUCAGCUUGAGCCCCCUGGCAGCCACAAUGUGGCAGCAGCAACCAACCAGGCUUUGUGGAAGCAUAGGAACCGUAUCGUCUUCGAUCACAUUAGUCCCAGUGUGGUGCAGGUGCGAACCGAUGUGAUUGCUGAAGGGAAGGCUUGGAGUCAGGCUGGACUUUUAGGAGUAUCUUUAUUUAGUACACUUCCGAUUAGUGCUGUAGAGUGGAGAGAUUCGGGAUGAUUAUCUUGUAAACUUGGCCUAAGGCCGUUAUCGCUGCGUCGCAGCUUCCUUCUUUAACGGAUGAUACACCAUCUUGAUUCUAAAAAAAAAAGCAACCAACCAGGCCACGUGUCGAAACACAGCUGCAAGCCUUGGCCGCAGUUUAGCUUAAGGGACAUGUAAUCAUCCUAGCUAGUGCCUGUCAAGUAAUAUAUACACACAGGCCAGAGUAGGCCAGAGUACAGCUGAGAUUAAUGAAAAUCCAGGGAUUCGCUUCUUGAGUGCUGCAAUAUCUCCACGUGAAGCUGCCGCUCGAGUUGGUGCUAGUUACAUCAGUCGAUGGGAGAAGAGGACGAUCGAUUGAUCGUUCAACAUGCACAAAGUAGACUCGUCCAUGUCCAUCGACAAGCAAGCAAAGGUUCAGACAGUCGCUCUCACGUUCAGUCCUCACGCGUCCCACCAGGCAAGGAAAUCAUACCUACACCAAAAUGUUUCAUCCCAGGAGGAAACUCUCAUACUUUACAAGCGCCAUGUAUUGGAGUGCUCAAGGUUGCGAUCACCAGGAAUGGCGUCUUCUUAUUCUUCCCGGCGACCGCCGUUGUGCGGGUGGAGGGAGGAGCUGUUGUGCAGCAGGAUCAGCUUGAGCCCCCUGGCAGACUCAACGGGCCUUGGCGUCGGCGUCCUCCGGGAUCCAUGGUGGUGGUGGCUGUUGUAGUAGUUCUCUGCCAGGGCGGCCUCAUCAAGGCGCAACCACGCCGCCCCCCUCGGCGCGCUCGCCGCCCACAUGAACCUGCCGGAGCAAGGGUUCAUCAGCGUCUCCCGGAACUCCUUGGCCCCCUCGCACAACAAGCCCUGAACAAAAACAAAAGGUGCAGUCAGGAAUUUGCACACUGAAUACCUUUGGCAGGACUGCCACUGCAGAGAUUCAGAGGAGAAAGCGAAAACAGAAACAUGAAUGUUACCUCUGCCAUGGCUUUGAUCUUGAGGGCGACGCUGUUGGACAGGAUGACCAUGUUCUUCUGGCUGCCUCUCAGCUUUUGGAAGAGGAGCGCGCAGUCGAGGACACGGUCUUCGGUCCUCGGGGUAACGAUGUCCGUGAAGCUCCUCGGGGAGAAGAGGGCAAACAUUGGGUUGAAGGUACCGGCAGCAGCGGCUUCUCUUCCUUCAUCGUUGCGUUGCAUUUCUGUAGGAGUUGCAGGUGGGGUUGGGGCUACAGGCGACAUCUCGGAUGAGCUCUGCACGUGGAUCCACCAGCUCUCGUUCUCCAUGCAAUCCUCGAUCCAUUGGAGUAUGGAGGUGGCCUUUGAGGAUCUCCUGAACAGGCCUUCCCGCUGUUUCAUGCAAUCGAGCUCCCUGAUCACUGGCAAAGACAGACAAAACAGGGUUUCAGUGGAUGAGAAUAGAACAUCAUGCAGAUGCAGUCUGUUCAGUUAAUUACAAGGUGGAAGAUUAGAUGCAAUAAAAUGUACUCCUACUAUAUAAUAGAAAAUGCAAUGCUGAACACAAGCAUAUUGGAUAUGGAUGUGCAAUGGGGCCUCAUUGAGUAAAGCACAUAUUCAGCUAGUAACAGCAUAAAAGGUGGUCAAAACUUGAAAGUUACAGAAGCACAAUUCUUUAGUUAAUACCAGCAUAGCAUGAGAUGGCUAUUGCAAAUGAGUAUAUAAAGUAAAAAAAAGCAAGCAGUAUUGUUUAGCAGUUGUUAGCAGGUCGAGAGGAUGAAAUGAGUAUAAUCAUUCAGCAAAAACAAGUCUCACUGAAGUAUGGAAAAAAUGAUAUAUGCAGCAACAGAAACAUACUGCACACUUUGUUUAGAUCAUACAUGCAAGACUAAUACUCCCUCCAUCCCAUAUUAAGUGACUCAAAUUUGUCCAAAUAUGGAUGUAUCUAUAUUCAAAAAGUGUCUAGAUACACGUAAUAGAAUGUCACUUAAUAUGGGACGGAGGGAGUACUAUUCUUCUCAACUUACCAAUCCUUGGUAUGAUGAGAUGAGUUCCUUUUAUGCCUCUUAACAGCAUUAUAGACUUCCUUGAUUCAUCAUCAAGAACACAAUAGGUAUCAGCCACCAUGGUCCAGACUUUCAUCCCUUCUCCAAUACUAUCAGAUUCUUGGUUCUUGUGCUGUUCACCAACGAAAUGGCCUCAUUUUAGAAUCCAUGACAAAAGUAAAAGACGUAGAAAUGAAAAGUCUAAAAAUAAUCUUUACGGUUACUUACUGGAAGACUGUUCAGUUCAUCUUCCAACCUGAAUGACACGUCAGCUGCUCUAGCAUUAGGUCUCGAGGGAGAAUUUGACACCAGAGUUUGGAAGGGGAACCUCUCUACAACCCGUUUCUUUGUGAUGACACUUUCAAUUCGUGCACGGUUUUCAGACAUAGGAGUAUCUCUUGUUUUCUGAGCUACAGAAGAUACUGGUGUAGAGUUCUCCUUGUCGGAGUAGAAUACCUCUUGAUCUUGGUCUACAUCCACCGGAAAUAGGUUCUUUGGAAGACAUCUUCUCGCUUUCAUACCUCCUGUUGACAUAGGUGUCAAGUUCUCCUUAUCUGAAUAGAAAGCCUCAUCAUCUACUGUGUGGAAACCUUUGGAUUUUGAUGAUAGACCAUUGCAUUCCUGUUUAUUGACGCUCCUGUUUGGAGGGUAUUCUGCUGACAUUGAACUAUCCAUCCUCGAGCCAAGAACCCUCCUACCGAUGGACUUGAGACCUCUGGAGGCAGGUGUCACAUUUUCCUUGUCUGAAGAGAUGUCUCCUUGUCUCACAGGGGAGAUAGCAUCAUACUCUGAUGAAAGUUCACCGCAUUCCCGUUUAUGGACGCUGAUGUUUGAAGUGUAUUCUGCUAACACCAAACUGUCCAUCCUUGAGCCAAGAGCCUUUCCAGCAAUGGGCUUGCGACCCCUGGAGGCAGGUGUCACAUUCUCAUCUGGAAAAAGGUCUCCUUGUCUCACAGGGGAGAUAGCAGCAUCAUACUUUCCAGAACCCAGCACUGAGUUUUCAUUGUAUGGAAUGAUGUCAUUUUCAAAAUCUAGAUGCGACAUGGGCAUAAACUCUGUUUCAACUGAAAUUGAUGGGAUAACAUUUUCAGAUAUAAGUUCAUUUGACUUCAUCUGCUUCCCAAUGUUCAGCAUGGAGUUUUCACUAUCUGAAAAGGUGUCAUGUUCCAAACUCAGAGGGGAAAUGGAGUCCAACAACUCUUGGGAUCUGUUAGGCUUCAACAGUAGCUGACUCCUCUCCAUUAUUAUGUUGCCCGAAACAAGGGGAGUGGUGUUCUCCUUGUCCAGUAGGUUGCUCUGUUCAUUUUCUUCAGUUCCUUUGAUAUCCAAAUUGUCAAAUAGACUAUCAUAAAUUAUGCCUUCAAGAUCGCAGUCCUGAGGACACACGGCAAUCUUAUUUUGGGCCAUUUUAUCCUUGUUUGGGAUACUUCCAUCCAGUUUAAGAUGGGAGAAACCAUCAUGCUUCAUGUCUUUGUGCUUAUUUGUAUUUCCAUCAACUCUGUCUUGGGUGAAAGAAUUUUCUGACACAUGCUCAUGUGAUUCCAGUCGUACAUCCAGCUGUGGUCCUUUGCCUGCGAAGAUCUCAUCUUUGAAAAGCAAAGCAGAAACGUAAUUCAUUGGUUCUGACCUCAUCUGUAGUUUUGCAUCAACUGAACCUUGUGGGACAGAAUUUUCAGAGAAAAUGCCAUGCUGGUUUGUCUCCUUGACAAAACUUAGCAUGGAGUUUUCCUUAUCCAAAUGCUCAGAUUUCAGAGGGUUCGGCACUUGAUUCUCCUCCAUGGUAAUGUUGUCCAAGACAUGGGAGUUCAUGUGCUCUUUUUCUGGUGCAAACAUGUUUUCUUUUUCUUCAGCUUCUUUGACAUCAGAAUUGUCAAACAAAACCAUGCAGGCUGCACAUCCUUUCCCACAGUUUUGAGAGCACAAAAGAUUCUCAUUCUGGGCUUCUUUCUGAUAGCUGUUGCUCAAAGUGCUGUUUUUCCUUCCUGUGUAAAUACGGAGAGAUUUGACUGACUUUAACUUGGCCCUCCGGGAAAUGGUGCCUGAAGCAUCCUGUUUGUCUGAUUGGACUGUUGUUCCAGCAUUUGCAAUUGUAGCGGGCAAUGACGGUAUUAUUGAGGAGCAAACAGAUUGUGUGACUGAAUUGUCACUAAACAUCAGUUCCUCUAUGACCCUCUCUCUGUUCUCAUCAAAUUGUGUGAGUGAAGAUUCUUCCAGAUAAAAAGAAUGGGCGAACCCAGGCAAUGGUGGAGCUGAGGGGAUGACUUUGGGAGGAUAUUCAAUUUGUUCAGACACUACUUGAUGGCCUGUCUCCUGUGGAUUAAAUUUUUGAAGUUAGCAAUGCAUGCAAGGACUAAAAUUCUAAAAUUGUAAGGGAAAAAAAAAUCAAGCAGUAGAACUCACAUCAACAUGUGGAAUCCUCAAAAGAACAAUUAAACAACACAAGAAGAUAUUAGUGAAAACAAAAUCUAUAUACAAACAUGAACUAGUCAUGCAAGAAAAUCAGGGUAUGGAAAGAGUUUACAAAAUCCAAAGUGGAUAGAUACAACUUGUCAAAGUUUUAUAUCAAGAAAUUUAUGAUAAAUACCAGCCAAACAACAAGUAUCGUUAACCAAGGAAAGUAACACAUGAUCAAUUGUUAGUUGAUGUCAGUUCUGUCAUGCAUUCAACACAAAAUACAUGGCACUCAGACAAACAGACAAGCAAUUCAAACUUGCGCAAAAAAUCUGGCAUAACUUGAGAACCAUAUAUCCCGACAAUACAUCUGCCAUAAGAAAAUCAUUUGGCAAUGUAAGCAAUUGAAGAAUAUGAGAUUAGUGGGAAAAUUUAACUAAUGUACAAGUGACCUAAAUGGCACUGAGCAAAUUAUAUUUAUCUAAGUAAUUCAAGCCUGAUAAGUAAUACAUAGGUGUGGAUGUCAUGGGAGUAACUUGCGCAGAGGCCCAACACAUUCAGGCUCGUUCAGUGUCAACUUCCAUUAGAAAGUACAACAGGACAAAUACUAAGACUUAGUACUAGGUAAAUUACAGGAACACAAUAGGUCACAUAAAAGGUUGCCAACUAGUCAUAAUUUGUAAGCAUCUUUACAUUACCACUGGAAGCAGUGGAAGCUUACUAAAACUAGGCACCAGGCAGAAUUCCAGAAAGACACGGCAACAUCAAAACUUUCUAAUCAGUCAUCAUCAUUUGUAAGCAACUUGGUGCUUUCAGUAAAGAGAAAUGCAUCAUUAAUCCGAUUACUGAGUAAUUCAAUAUUCACUAUCAGAGUUGGAUCGUAAAUUUGAGUUCAAUGCAUUUCACAAAGCAAUUAAGGAAAGUGGAUCAUAAAAGUAAAAAAUGGAUGAACUACAAACUAAUUGAAUAUCAAUGAUUGUAAAUAUUACUAUUCCAAAUAAAUCAAACAUUUUAACAUAAUGCAUUUUAUGAUUUUGGCAGAACAGAAGCAAAGUCAGUGGGCAAGCAAUCUGAACUAUUUGGCAGAACAGAGGCAAAGUCCGUGGGCAAGCAAUCUGAACUAAAGGACACAAUUAAUUGGUACCCAUACCAAAUCCGACGACACGAAAUGCAUCUAAAGUUACAUAGAAGUUUUCAGUAUUAGCUUGUUGGAAUCAAACCUGGUGAUUUUCCAUGUCCAUUGGCUCCGUCUGCGCAGGCACCAACUCCUUGCUUGCCUCCUGUGCAUUUCAUCAAACGCUUAGAACACAAUCAAAGUGGUUACAGAUUCUGCACCGAGUGUCAGAAGGAGUUGUCUACCUGAUGAGCACAGAACUCCUCCUUAUCCUCCUCAAUAAGUGGUGGCAGCAGAUCGUCCAUCUCAAGUGCCUCGUGGAGCGAAAGCCAGUGAAGCCGGUACUCCCUCUUGGAGCCCCCAAGCUGCAGCACGUCACCGACCGCCAGCUCCACCGGCGUGUUCGUCGGGAUCCUUUGACCCGAGACCCAGGUCCCGUGCACUGGAUCAAAUCAAAGCCCAACCAUGGGUUGACGCUAUGUUAGCUAGUAGCAUUCUGCACUGAUUUGAUCAAAUUGCAAACAUAUUCACUAUCACCGCAGGUCCUUCCGAAGAUGAUAAGGACACGAGGUGGAGCUAAAUUCUCACAACGUUGACGGUUCGACAAGCAGAUCCGAAUGAAUCGAUCAGAUGAACUCCCCCCAAAGUAUCCCCAACAAAUAUCUCAGUCUACACGAAUCGAUUCACCCAAACAAAAACCUUAAGGUUCCUGUAACUGUAAAUCCAGGCAGGCGCAGAGAUCGCGAAGCACGGCAGGCGCUCGCAGAGGGUGGGGGGAGUGGAGAGGGAGGCGCGAUCUGAGUACCGGAGGAGAGGUCGGUGACGGUGAUCCGCCGCUGGCGGCGGCGGCAGCGGACUUCGAGGUGACGGCGGCUGACGCUGGGGUGGUCGACGAGGACGUGGCAGUCGGGGUGCCGCCCGAACAGCACCGGCGGGUCCUCGCCCUCCUCCCGAUCCCCACCCCGGCCGCGCCGCGCCUCCUCCUCCGGCGGCGGCGCGUUGAGGAAGAUGUGCUUCAGCACGACGCCGCCCUUGGCCACCGCGAACGCCGCGAUCGGAGGAGCCGCCCCCGCCUCCACUUCCGCCACCGCCAUGCCUGCCCGUCGGGUGCCACGAGGGGGGAGGGGAGGAAAGGAUGCUGACGCUGACGCCUCUCUCGCUUGCUGUGUGAGAAACGUUGCUGUGGAAUCGGGGGAAUUCGAAAUGCGGAGUAGGAGGAGCCGGGGGCCGAUUUGAGGAGGAGCCGGGGGAUCGCAACGGCUAGAAUUUUAUCUCCAUUUUUUUGUUCCUUUGAGAGAAUUGGAAAGACGCGUCUGUUCCGCGCUCCUUACCGGGCCGAAUGACCGGUGGGCCAACCAAGAGCCUGUGAGUGACUACUGGGCCGAAUGACAGGUGGGCCAAGCAAGAUCCUGUGAAUGCCCGGUGGGCCGAAUGACCGGCUAUAAUCAAUCUUGAUUUUUUUCAAUCUAAACAGCGAAGCAAGAGACAAGCUGAAACCCAAAAAAAAAGCAAGGGACAAGCUUUUUUGGUUACAACGGUUUUUGUCCGCAGUUCAUCUUGUAGCGGCCACGGGGGCCCCUCAAUCUCUCACUCGCGUGAGCAUGGCGGCGGCGGCGCAGCAGCCGCGGGGCGUGGCGCGGCGGUGAGGGUCUGAGGGAGAAGCUGCUGCUCACGGAGGAGGAGCGGAAAUCCCGGCUGGUGUCUUCUCGAUUUCCUCCCCCGCCUCCGCCUCGGCGCACCGGUCGGCGACGCCGGUGGGCAAGGACCGCGAGGUGAGUGGGGCAAGGAAGGGAUAGACCUUCUACAUGUUCUGCUUAGUUUUUUUUAUUACCGAUUCACCGUUCUUUUUUGUUCCUUUUGUGGAAUUGUAAUUUCAAGUAGGAAUUCAUCACCAGAUGAUAAUCAUGCGUUACAUCAGCAAGGUUCUAAUGUGAGGUGGAAUUUUCUCGUUAGUAACCUAGGUCCUAGAUCAUGGUGGUGUGUGAACCGGUGUAUCCAAUGUUUUGUUUAGAGGGAGACAUGUGUAGUGCCGGGAAUCACGUUCCCACCUCCCUUUUCCUGGGGUUAUUAGGGGCACCAACUCCACUAUUGCUUGAUUCGCACUCGGCCGGCCGGCGAUGAGAAGUCAAGCUUUGCUGCCGCCCUUUGUUUGUCCCUUGUCAGAGGACUAUCGUGUGAUUUAGGAGAUCAUAAUGUCAUUCUCUAAGUAGGACCAUUUGUUGAAAUUAAACCAUACAUGAGGUCAUCCGUCUUAAUAAUAAUAAUGUUGGCAUGUAUGCUGUCUCUUUCCCAAUUUUAAAAUCUUAAUAUGUCGAUGACACCUCCGAAUGUAAUUUGCUUCUCCUAUCGAUUGUCAAUGUUACAUAAUUAUGUGAUUGUGCAGUACUCUUCCAGUCUUCCUAAGACAAAGAAAGCACAUUUCUGUCGUGGCGCUCUGCUGGCCGGUUGCAGGAUCCGGAAGUCAAGCUUGCUGCCGCUCUCUGUUGUCCUUUUAUCAAAAACAGUAGUGUGAUUUAGGAGAUCCUAAUGCCGUCCUCUCGUUGAAAUUAAGUUCUGCUGUCUCUUUCUAUAUAUUCUUUCUGGAAAUUGUGUGAGUAGUCACUGCAGAGUACAGGUGCCGUGUUUGAUCAGUUUUUCUGGUUAGUUAUGCAAUUGAAUAAGAAAAUUAUAUCCGCUGUGAAAAUGAUUUUCCAUGGAUUCAGACUAAUGUAUGGUGGUAGUUGUGAGCUAGGUAGCUUUUUUCAGAUGUAGACAUUUGCCAUGCCUAUAAAUAGAGGGUGUAGUUAAGCAGCUAGUUACUUGUAGCUAUGGUCAUUAUACAACCAAAUCACCCAGGAUUUUAAUGCUCUCUUUGCACUUCAGAUGACAUGAUCAUGCUGUUUUCGGGGGAUCAUACAUGUUUGUGCAACCACUGAACGCUCGCAAGAUGAUGGUGUACAUGAAGUCAAGGUACAUGAAUCUCUACUAAGUUUUUUAGUUCUGUAAACAGUCCUCAUGUAUAGUUAGAGUUUUGAGAAUUUGAUGUAAGUGUCUUAGCUAGCUUCUUUGAGGACCUCCGCGGUGCUUGUUAGUUGACUCAAAUGGCAACACCAACAGGAUGUCAGGAUGACUCCCACAAACAACUUCCACCUUUCCCCACUUCUUCUCACUCCCUGCUGUAGUAUGACUAUUGGAUGCCUGGAAGGUGGGAAAAGUAUAUCCGAGAUAAUAAAUUAAAUACCGAAAUUAAUCCUAGUCACAAUUGGGAUGGAUCUAAAGGUAUGUGUAAUUAUUUUCCACCAUAUGCAUAACAAAUUAGAUCCAUAUUCGAGUGUAGUUUCUAGCACUUGGUUCAGUAGUUUAGGCAGCAGGUUGUGAAUCAAAAGCAGAUCAGAUAGCAAAACUAAUUAGCUCCCACAUGAUUGCAGGACUCUAGAAAAUCCAGAUAUCUCAAAUUUAAUCAGAUUUGUAAAGACUAUGGUUAUAGUACUCAAUUUGCAGUGGCUGAAAUUUCACUUCUAUUGAAUUGAAUCUUUCUUGCUUGCAGAAGGACAGUAAGCAAGUAUUGAGGGGAGUGAAGUAGAAUCCUUCAGGUAGUUUUCAUGACACAAAUGAAUGCUUGCUGACAUUGACUAUUGGAUAUCUAAAAAUGCCCUUAUUUUUGUGUUUGCAUAUAAUUAAGAUCUUCAACAAAGACAGCUUCCAGCCCAGCCAUGAGGGUUACUUCUAUCAUGCAGUUUAUCUUGGGGCUCAUGGUUUGCAAUGGACAUGCUGUCAUUUGUGACUCCUUAUAUGGAAAUGAGACAGACCGGUUGUCACUGCUUGAAUUUAAGAAUGCGAUCAGCCUCGAUCCAAAGCAAUCCUUGAUGUCUUGGAAUGAUAGCAUCCACUUUUGCAAUUGGGAAGGUGUUCAUUGCAGGAUAAAGAAUCCACUCCGUGUCAUUUCUCUUGACCUUGCAAAUCGAGGUUUAGUAGGGCAAAUCUCUCCUUCACUUGGAAAUCUAACACUCCUAAAACAUCUAUUCCUAUCGACAAAUAGGUUUACUGGGACAAUUCCUCCAGCCCUUGGUCACUUGCAUCGCCUCCAAAACCUAUACUUGAGCAAUAACACACUACAAGGAACGAUACCUAGUCUUGCAAACUGUUCCAACCUCAAGGCCCUAUGGCUGGAUAGAAAUCAACUAGUUGGGCAAAUUCCUACAGAUUUGCCUCCUUUCCUGGAAAAGCUGCAACUUUCAGUAAACAAUCUUACUGGAACCAUCCCUGCUUCUCUUGCCAAUAUCACAUCGCUAAACCAGUUUAACUUUGCUCUUAAUAGUAUCGAGGGCAACAUCCCAAAUGAGCUUAGAAAGUUACCUGCGCUUCAUAUUUUGAAUGCGGGUGGUAACCAGUUGACAGGCACGUUUCCACAAGCCAUCUUGAACCUUUCUACUCUCGUUAGCCUUAACCUUGGUCAGAAUCGUUUAAGUGGUGAGGUACCGUCAAAUCUUGGUAACUCUCUACCCAAUCUCCAGGCAUUCGCUUUAGCCAACAACUUCUUUCACGGGGAAAUCCCAUCUUCACUGAUAAACGCAUCUGAGCUAAGCAAAUUUGAUAUAUCAAGUAAUAAUUUCACGGGAUUGAUUCUUAGAUCCAUUGGCAGACUUUCCAAACUCACGUGGUUAAAUCUUGAGUUCAAUAAACUCCAAGCACGCUCCAAGGAAGACUGGGAGUUUAUGAGUAGCUUAGCCAAUUGUACCAAGCUAAAUGCCUUCUCAGUAGAGGGGAAUCAUCUAGAAGGCGAGGUACCAACUUCAUUAUCUAACCUUUCCAUUCAGCUUCAAAAUCUAUAUUUAGGACGAAAUCAAUUGACAGGGGGUUUCCCUUCUGGCAUAGCAAACCUUCCCAACUUGAUUGUUCUAGGAAUGAAUUCUAAUCGAUUUACAGGUAACAUUCCACAAUGGCUAGGAACUCUUAAAAGUUUGCAAAUACUAGGCUUAGCUAGCAACACAUUUACCGGGUUUAUUCCAUCCUCCCUUUCCAAUUUAUCUCAGUUGACAUAUCUUCUUCUAGACUCGAACCAAUUUGUUGGCAGUAUACCACCAAGCUUCAGAAACCUUCAAGGCCUUUCAAUAUUGAACAUUUCCAACAACAAUCUGAGUGGUAGGGUACCAAAGGAGAUCUUUAGCAUUCCGACACUAAUGCAAAUUUAUUUAUCUUUUAACAACAUCGAUGGAGAACUUCCUACCGACAUCGCCAAUGCCAAACAACUCACAAAUCUAGAACUGUCAUCAAAUAGGCUAUCUGGAGUUGUUCCUAGCACUUUGGGCAAUUGUGCAAGUUUGCAAGAUAUCAAGUUGGACUGGAAUAAUUUCAGUGGAAGCAUCCCCAUUUCAAUAAGCAAAAUAAGCAGCCUACAAAUUCUCAGUGUUUCCCACAAUAACAUAACUGGGUCAAUUCCAGUGUCCCUUGGCAACCUACAAUAUCUUGAGCAGCUAGAUUUGUCAUUCAACCAUCUUGAGGGGGAGGUCCCAACAAAAGGAAUCUUCAUGAAUGUAACUGCAGUCCAGAUUGAUGGAAAUCAGGGUCUUUGUGGUGGGACUCUGGAGUUACAUUUAAUGGCAUGUUCUGCUACGCCUUCGAAUUCAACAAAGCACAAGCUGUUCUUGGUACUCAAAGUGGUAAUCCCAGUAGCUUGCAUGGUGUCACUUGUUAUGAUCAUACUUGUGUUAUUGUUUUGGAGAAGGAAACAUAAGAGAGAAACUAUGUCUUUGCCAUCAUUUGGUGGAUCAUUUGGUAGACAAUUUCCCAAAGUUUCUUUCAUUGAUCUAGAUAGAGCAACAGAGGGGUUCUCAACGUCCAACAUAAUUGGCAGAGGGAUACACGGUUCUGUGUAUCAAGGGAAACUAUUUGAAGAUGGAAAUGAUGUUGCCAUAAAAGUCUUCAACCUGGAGACAAGGGGAGCACAAAAGAGCUUCAUUGCAGAAUGUAAUGCCUUAAGCAAUGUGCGGCACCGUAAUCUACUCCCUAUACUAACCGCAUGCUCGAGCAUUGAUUCUAAUGGGAAUGAUUUCAAAGCUCUAGUCUAUGAGUUCAUGCCUCGAGGAGACUUACAUAGACUACUAUACUCAACUCAAGACUAUGAAGGCUCUGCAGAUUUGAUACAUAUUACACUGGCUCAAAGGCUAAGCAUUGUUGUGGAUGUGGCAGAUGCAUUGGAGUACCUACACCAUAACAACCAAGGAACUAUUGUUCAUUGUGAUAUGAAGCCUAGCAACAUUCUUUUGGAUGACAACAUGACAGCUCAUGUUGGAGACUUCGGUCUUGCAAGGUUCAAAGUUGAUUCCGGGGUAUCAUCUUCUGAUGAUCCAUACUCAACUUCUUUGAUUGCAAUAAAGGGAACGAUUGGAUAUGUUGCUCCAGGUAGUCCCAAUUUUGUUCUUCUGGUGUCCUCCUCUUUAAAUUGAGAAUAUUACUUCUUUUUAUACCAACAUUGGGAUUAAGAUGUCUUGCAUGUGAACUGCAGAGUGUGCAACAGGCGGCCAUGUUUCAACUGCUAGCGAUGUCUAUAGCUUUGGAAUUGUCCUCCUCGAAAUAUUCUUACGGAAGAGGCCAACCGACGAUAUGUUCAAAGAUGGACUAGACAUUGCAAAAUUUGUCGAAAUGAAUUUUCCUGAAAGCAUGUCGCAAAUUGUUGAACCUGAAUUACUCCAAGAUCAACCUGAGUUUACUAAAGGAAGUCCAGUGGUCACAAAGGAAAAUGACCUGGGCUCUUUAAUUUCAGUGCUAAGAAUUGGGCUUUGCUGCACCAAGCUGUCACCAAAUGAGCGCCCCAACAUGCAGGAAGUGGCUUCAAAGCUGCAUGGAAUUAAGGAGGCUUAUCUCAGAGGGUACUAAGGUAGUAGUAAUCACCAGUUUUAGUGUAUGGUGCCGUGCUGUGGUUUUUAUCUGCCAUUCUUUUCCAAAUAAGAACACCACUCCUCUUACUGUUGUAAUUGUUCUAGAGAUUUCUGGCAGCUACGUUGCGAGCUCCGAACUAACCAGAUGUUUUUCGUGCAGAUUGCUGGCUGUCAUGCUCUCAAAACGAAAGCUGGCAGCAUAUCACAACCUCUUACGGAUUAUUGGAAGCCGAUACUGCAAUCUUCUUGGAGUAUGCAUUGGGCAAUGUGCUCUGCUUGUGCUGUUCCUCAAGAUAGAGCUUCUUCCUUGAUGAUGGCCAUGCAUGCUGUUUAGGUGAUGGCUCUGUUUAGUUUGGGAUAACCUCUUGGAGUCUUGGUGAACUUCUUUUUGAAGGAACCAGCCAUCCUUUAUAAGCUUGAAUCAAGGUUACAUCCAUGGCUUGCUGCUAUUACGAUGAUGCCUUUGUUUGACUCUUAUUGAUGUCUCCUUGAUUUCCUUUUAGAUUAAGUCUGUUGUACGAACAGUUAACUGUAAACUGAAGUUUUUUGAAAGAUCUCCUUGGCUUAUACAUUCCCUGGAUACUCCAGUUUGGAGUUGACUUGUAAAUGUCUGAUGCUGGAAAACCAAAAAUGCUGAUUUUUGCUGCAGAAGUGAAUGGGCCGCAUGAGGCGAUUCAUAGUUUGUUUUAAGGCCGGACUUGCCAAGUUCUGCAGAGGGAGUUAAGCUUAGGAGUCGUCUUCCUCUGCUUAGUAGGAGUAUAUUACAAAAUCAUUUCAAGCGAGUUUUCCACAAUAUUUAUGAAUUUCCAGACAUAUUAUCAUCAUUAAAAUUUCCCAUAAAAAAACAGAUCAGAUGUUUUACUUUUUUAUCUUUUAAAUUUUCCAGAUUUAUAUUUCUUGUUUUUAUGCUGACUACGCUGUCACCGCCAUUCAUACUGAUCAUCAUAAGUAUGUAUGGUACAGAAAGUUAAAAGAUCGAGGGCCUCUUUGAUUUGCAAGGUUUCGGAAAUAUAGAAAUAGGAAAAACGCAUGAAUACAAUAGGAAUGCAUGUGCAAGAUCAAGGAUUGGAAAACAUUAAAAUUUUAUAGACUUGUGUUUGAUUUGCGGGAACAUGAGAAACAUGGAAAUCCUAACAAGCAUGGUCAAAUUAAAAGUUAAAUCGGAAGCAAAAGUAAAGUUACAAUGUUAUUAUGGCAUCUUCAAUAGUACUAAUAUUUUAUCUCUUUCUUUUUCUUUUUUAUUCUCUACUCUUACCCAAUGGACCCACAUGUCAAUCUUUAUUUAUUCUUGGUACCCGUGCAUAAGUUGUUACUUCUACAAGUGACUGGUACUAUCUUUUUUAUCUAUCUAUCCUCCACGUAGGACCAGUACCUGCUUAAUACCUCCUGUUGGAGACACCCUAAGUACCUUGCCUCGUUCUUUGUGCAAAGGAAUUGAAAAGUAGAGGUUCAAGUGGAUCAUUGAAAUCCUACGCUUUUCCUUUAAAAUUGAGCACGAAGGAAGAGUUCGGGCUUCUUUGGUUCACAGGAAUUAAAAAAUAUAGGAAUAUGAAAAAUGUAGGAUUAGAAUGCCAUGACAUGUUGAAUACUAUAGG
Molecule: long non-coding RNA, 69418 nt
Filed under: Brachypodium distachyon (stiff brome)
Lineage: Eukaryota; Viridiplantae; Streptophyta; Magnoliopsida; Poales; Poaceae
Description: long non-coding RNA (BDIS_LNC004944)
Rfam family: MIR1120/MIR1122 microRNA precursor family (bases 57305-57429)
Source: RNAcentral